This 86474-nucleotide long non-coding RNA is filed under the name Triticum aestivum (bread wheat). RNAcentral's name for it is "long non-coding RNA (TAES_LNC026972)". Lineage: Eukaryota; Viridiplantae; Streptophyta; Magnoliopsida; Poales; Poaceae. The record is from RNAcentral.
UCAAAUUGAAGGUGACAAUUCGGACGAGAUAAAUGGACCAGACAGUUGUGUGGAAGCGAUUACUUCAGGGGAGUAUCUUCAAGAAGCUUGUUUUAUUCGAUGGGUUUGGUCGCGCCCAUCCAAUCCAAGGCCAGUAUACUUUGUGGCGACAAAUAUGUUUUCGCAUCUUGCUAUGAUAUGUCACUUCUUGAAUUCUGGAACGUUACUGCCACUGUACAGAUCUUGUAAUGAUUCACCGACUAUGCUUUGCACUGCAGUAGUGGUCAAUCCAGACACCAUUCUUUUCCACAGAGCACCGUGUCUCGGAAUUUGUAUGGAUCCCGGCACCUUUUCCAAGCGGUAAUGGCCUGCACGGUAGGCCAUUCUGUCCCCCCUUAAACUCCAUUCCAUUAUCUGUCACAUGCAUGAUGCUUUUCCAUGUGAAUUCACAUCUUAAAUAUGUGCUUAGUGCUCUCCUUGAUAAUCUUGAUUGAAAAUAUAUAAAACUCAAAGCAUUGCAUUUGGCCACCACCGUUGUUAAGUGGAGGAAAAGCGGGAUUUUGGUGGCAUUGUUAACAAAAGCUGACUGCCCAGUGGAAGGAGGGAUUGGUGGUGGGUUUAGAAUAAGCCUGCUGGUUAUUCAAAAGAAGGGGGGAAUGGGCUGAUAAGAUCAGCAAAAAAAAUUAUUUUUGCAAAUCUGGGGAGGCCAAAGAGGACCAUGGAUGGGUGAUUAGCUUAGAAUAACACAAAAGGUGUGCAUAUCCAGGCCAUGACACGUCAGACCCAGGUUAGGUGUUGGUAGUGGGAUAGGACAAGCUCUAGCUUUUUAGCUUUGGCUGUUUUUAAUCCAAAAAGAAUGUUUUCAUAUGUUUGCAGCAGAGUAUCUCCUCUCCUUAGAGCCGGAAAUGAAACAUGGAGUAUCUCCUUUUGAGUUUUGAUAUGAGGUAAAGUGUGGUCUUGGCAGGUGCCAUGUGGACCAGUGCUAAAUAGUGGUUGGCUUGCAGCUGUCAAGCUGAUAGCCUGCAACCCCCCUUUGUGGUUACCUGCAUUAAUAUGAUAUCAUUGCUGUGUAAUGCAGAUGGGAAAUUAAACUAACCUGUCAUUUGAAUCAUCAAACCGAAACGUAUACUGAGACCUUUCUAGGCCCUUUUGAUUGCACAUUCCUAUAAAAUUUCUAUGAACGGCUCAACCUAAAUAUGAUGAGGAAUUUGAGAAUGUUGAGGCUAUACCUCAUGGAAACUUUUGGGGAGCAUCCAAACAUCUUUUGAGGUCAAUAAACUUCUUUGUAUUCUUAUGGAAUUGCGCUGCAUUGGCACUCCUAUAUAGUUGCCAUGUUUUUCUUCUUCGAUCUACCUCACUUCAGAGUUGCAAUGCUUUGGUUCUAGAGAAAAUGACCAUAGGUAGAAUCAUUUGGGCUAUUUUUAAUAUAAUUUGUGAAUGUCCAUGCUAUUAGUUGUUACACUCCUAUUAUUUUUAUGUAAACCAUUCAUUUCAAGGGCUCAUACCAUCCUGAAGAUGCUAACUUACUCGGUUGCUCCCAAAUACUCCCUCCGUUCCAAAUUAUAAGAUGUUCAAUUUUUUUUCUUUCUGAAAUCGGAUGUAUAAUGCCCCUGCCUUAAUGUGUUUGUUCACUCAUUUCAGUCCAUAUGUAGUCCAUAUUGAAAUAUCCAAAAAUUCGGAAUGGAGAUAGUACUACAGGGAUGGGGAGAAACCACUUGAGCAUGUCCACAAAAUCUGUACCAAUAACGCAUGAAAUUCGCUUGCAUAUUCAUGCAUGUAGAUAACCAUGGAAAAUAAGAAGAAACAUCCAUUUUAGAAAGAAAAAAACAGAACUUCUUAGCCUGAAUUUCUUUCUACCCAAAUAGCCCUGAAUCAAAGCAUUUUAUGACAGUUCUGCAAAAUUAUUUCGUGAAAUAUGUUCAAGCAUUUUCUCAAGGAAUAUAAAUGUCCGAGUGGUUGAGUGUCUGAAGCCUUGUGAGUGAAGAGGUAAAAGAAAGCUGUUUGAAAUGAUCGCUGCCCGUUCUGGAGCCGAGACCAGGAUGGGGCAAAGCAGUAAAAAAGGAAGAAGCUGUAAAAAGAAGGGUUGCAAAGAAAGAAAGGGGAAAGCCUGGGUGGAUUUUCACCGACGCCGUGGUGUGUCGCUCAUACUGACACGGAAUCUGUAUGGGGCGGAUCGGAGUCCAAGAUGCGCAACGCCGCCUUUAAUCAGGCUCCAAUUGCCGAGGAAAAUCCGCUUUCUCGCCGGGUCCUCUGCGUUUCGCGCACACACAACCCGACCCGUUACAUGUUUUACUCUUUGGACUGGAAGACGAAUCCGCCUCUCCGCCUCCCGUCUCCAAUCUCGAGAAAAAUUCUCUGGUUUGGAUCAGGUACUGCUGCUUUGCUCUUUGGAACAGCGUCUUGUUCCCCGCUUUGCUUUCAGAAAUGGCUGCAGGGAAAAUCGGAAUAGCACCGAAAUUGCAUACGUUUUUUAUGCCUUGAGAACUUGAACGCUAAAGAAAUCUGGAUUCAUUUCUGGACCGCUGAAGGCAUGGGAUUUUGCUUAGUUUUCUAGAGGAGUUUGAGUGUUUCUAUGGAUGGAAGAGAGAUCAGGGAAGGGAUGCGGCUUGCCCAAGAGGGCCAUAUAAUUAGCGAAUUUACGCGAACCCACGAGGAAUAUCCGCGGCCAAUCUCAAGGAUCGAGAGCUCACGCCCUGAGCCAGGGGGAAUGUCUCUUGAGCAGAGCGCUCGCGAAAAUAUUGAAAGGAGAGCAGGAAAAAGAUAAAGGAAAAGGGAUUCCUUUAGCCACUGCUGCUGAAUUUCCAGUUGUUUUCUCUUCUUCCCUAUGUGCGUGGCGCGCGCGACAAAGGAAAAAGAUGCAGCUUGUAUUCUACCGAUAGAAAAACAAGUAAAGAAGAAAAAAGAUAAGUAAAGCCUCGAAUCUGCUAAAGCAUGUGCGGAAAGCUUCCGGUUAGUUGCGUAAACUAGUGUGUGGCCCGUUGUUAUUUUGUUAAGCUAAACUGCGGUACUGAUUCUAACCGGGAAUGUAGUGAUCAGCUGGUAGCUGUCCUAAUAAUCCUCACUAUCUCCACAUUGCUCCUGAAUUUUAACAAAGGUAAUGUAUGUAGUAGGCCUGUUUGGAUGAUUAAUUUCGCCAGAUUCUUUGGGUGCCGAACUGUUUCUGUAAAAACAUGCAAAAUUCGAGUGAAAUCCCUACAUUCUGAAUGGUUUCCUGUUGUUGGCGGAGGAUACGAGAGAUGCCGGAAUCGGGUUUUUGAUGGGCCAGCACGGAGUUGAAGCGAGUGUUUUUUUUUUUUAAAUCUUCUCUGCAAGAUUCCUGCUUGUAAAGGCAAAUGAUUUACCGCUGUUGUAGGUGGGGGGAUACGAAACGAAAUGAAGGAUCCCUUGGCGAAAACCAUGGCGGACGGCCGGGAAUGGGUUGGAUGAGGCCGCACGGAACUUUCCUUUUCGAAAUUUAAUAGCACGCGCGCGCGGUUGGUUCGAUCGAUCGACCGAGCGAGCGAGCGAGUUUUUCCCUUUUCUUUUGCUUCUUUGCCUUCUUCUUUAAAGAAGAAGCGACACAGCUCGUCGACCAAAAAAGCACGGCCCUCCUUGUGCUUGCCGAUGCCCGGCCACUAGCCAGAGCAGAUUAAGCUAAGCGAUUGAGCGGCGCCGGCACCGGCGCUCCGGCCAUGGCCUCGCGCUCCCUCCCACCUUGCCCAUGCUGACCACAUGCUAGUCCACCACCCAGCUCCCGGCCUUCUUCUUCACUCCACUCCGCUACUAGUCCACGUACGUACCCUUCAACCAACGGCUGCGGGGUAGAGAGGGGGAGAGGGACAGGUAGGUAGGCACGUACGUACGUGUGGGUAGGUGCCGAUGGUGACGGCGAGGGAGGCGGCGGCGGCGGCCAUGGACGCGAGCAAGUACGUGCGCUACACGCCGGAGCAGGUGGAGGCGCUGGAGCGGCUCUACUACGAGUGCCCCAAGCCGAGCUCGCUGCGCCGGCAGCAGCUGGUCCGGGAGUGCGCCGUGCUGGCCAACGUCGACCCCAAGCAGAUCAAGGUGUGGUUCCAGAACCGCCGCUGCCGGGAGAAGCAGCGCAAGGAGUCCGGCCGCCUGCAGUCGCUCAACCGCAAGCUCACCGCCAUGAACAAGCUGCUCAUGGAGGAGAACGACCGCCUCCAGAAGCAGGUCUCCCACCUCGUCUACCAGAACGGAUACUACCGCCAGCAGACGCACAGCGUACGCCCUCCUCCACCCCCGGCGCCCUCCACGAUGAGCCCUCCUCCCUUGCAGCCGCCGCGAGCUCACGCCUUUACUCCUCCUCCUCUCCCGUUGCCGUUGCAGGCGGGGCUGGCCACCACGGACACGAGCUGCGAGUCGGUCGUCACCAGCGGCCAGCAGAACGUCGUCGUCGUGCCGCCGCCGCCCCGCGACGCCAGCCCUGCUGGGUACGUUAAUCGUGUUCAGGCCUUGCAGGCCAUGUUCUCUUAUUGCUUUUGUUUUCUUUUCCUAUGUAUAGCAUCUAGUUUCUGUGCGAUAUGUAUGCAUGGAUUUUUACUACUGUUUGUUUCCUGCAGAUUGAUGUCCAUCGCCGAGGAGACAUUAACGGAGUUUCUGUCCAAGGCCACCGGAACCGCCGUCGAGUGGGUCCAAAUGCCUGGGAUGAAGGUCUCUUUCCUCUCAAUUCCUCUCUCUGAACUCUCAACUUCUUGUUUGCAUGGUGUGCUCAAUCAACCAUUCUUGUCUGCAGCCUGGUCCGGAUUCCAUUGGAAUCAUCGCCAUCUCGCAUGGCUGCGCGGGUGUUGCUGCGCGAGCUUGCGGCCUCGUAGGCAUGGAGCCUGCCAAAGUAAGCCCCUUGCUUUCUCUCUCUCUCUCUCUCUCUCUCUCUCUCUCUCUCUCUCUUUUAUUUGACUAUUUCCUUGCUUUCACUUCACUACAUCUCUUCGCUUUUAAUUUUGUUAAAAUCAAAGAGUGUUCCUGACUGUUGCCGACUCAGGUUGCCGAAAUCCUCAAGGAUCGGCCACUCUGGCUGCGUGAUUGCCGGUCUAUGGAGGUAGUAAAUGUGCUGCCUGCUGGCAGCAAUGGCACGAUUGAGCUGCUCUACAUGCAGGUACGAAAUGCUUGGUUAACUCUACCUGUCUACCAUGACACCUUUCAUGAACUUGAGAUUCUUUUUCCAUCUCUAGCUCUAUGCUCCGACGACACUAGCGCCAGCUCGUGACUUCUGGUUGAUGCGGUACACAUCCAUUCUCGAUGAUGGAAGCCUAGUGGUGAGUUGCUAAUCAUCAAACAUUCGUGUCCAAUUAGUAUCAUAGCGUGUUCAUGCGUCAGGCGCUUGACUGUUUUUGCUCUAAAGGUAUGUGAAAGAUCACUCAGUAGUAAGCAAGGAGGCCCAAGUAUGCCCCUUGUCCAGCCUUUCGUUAGAGGUGAGAUGCUUCCCAGCGGUUUCUUGAUCCGGCCUAGUGAUGGUGGAGGUAGCGUGAUUCACAUCGUUGACCAUUUGGACCUGGAGGUAAUAACAAUUCAGCAACAAAUGAUAAACUGUUUCUUUAUCUAGUUCAUCUAUCACAGAAAUUUAGCAAGCUACUUUGUGUUCAUGCACAGCCUUGGAGUGUGCCUGAAGUUGUGAGACCACUGUAUGAAUCUUCUGCCAUGGUGGCCCAGAAGAUGUCGAUGGCGGUACAAUUACAUGGACUAUACUGUUUUUUAUUGCUCUUGAUAACACUUGAUGCUUAGGCAUAAAGGAUUAAUAUUUGGAGUAACUCAAUUUUGCAUAUCCAGGCCUUGCGCUAUCUCAGGCAAGUUGCUCAUGAAGAUACUCAUUCUGUAAUCACUGGAUGGGGCAGACAGCCUGCAGCCUUGCGAGCUCUGAGCCAAAAGCUCACCAGGUUGGGCUCUUGAACAGCACAGGCAUAUUACUUUCAAAAAAAAAAAACAGCAUAGGCAGAUUGUAAUGCUCCUUACCAUGAAUCUGUUUCAGUAAGAGUGUAACUGAUUUCGCACCUGUUUCAGAGGUUUCAAUGAAACUCUCGGUGGGCUUGCUGAUGAUGGAUGGUCCGUGAUUGAGAGCGAUGGCGUAGAUGAUGUUUGUAUCUCCGUUAAUUCAUCCCCGAGCAAAGUGAUGAGUUGCACCGCAACAUUCAGUGAUGGACUACCCAUGGUUAGUACCGGUGUUCUUUGUGCAAAGGCGUCGAUGCUGUUGCAGGUUGGUUUCUUUCCACACUUUCAAGUUUUAUUUCUGGAAAAUGAAUGUGACAUUAACAUCGACUCUGGUAAUGGUUGUAGGAUGUCUCUCCACCGUCACUACUGCGGUUUUUGCGGGAGCAUCGGUCGCGGUGGGCUGAUAGCAGUUUAGAUGCAUUCUUUGCUUCUGCGCUGAAGCCCAAUUUCUGCAAUUUACCUAUGUCUCGUCUUGGAGGAUUUAGUGGCCAGGUUAUACUCCCUUUGGCACACACGUUUGACCCUGAAGAAGUAAGCUCCUGGUCUUCGGUAAAUUAUAAAAUUCCCUGCUCCGUAGUGUCCUCCUGCUCGAUUUUUUAAUCGCACAAUUUCUUCUUUUCAGUUCUUGGAAGUUAUCAAGAUAGGAAAUGCCAGUAACUAUCAAGAUACACUGAUGCAUCGCGAUCUUUUCCUCUUACAGGUAACUUUUGAUUCUUACACUUAUGCAAUAAAUUUUUUUUUUGAAAGGAGGCAAAAGACUUGCCUCAUUCAUUAAUAAAGGAGAGGAUAACAGAGUUUAGCAUGAGUUACACUUAUGCAAAAGGAGGCAAUAAGUUUAUUUAACCACCUAACCGGACCAGAUAACCUGAUGCACAUAUUUUUGAUCAAGUUGCUCAACUGAGCUUUGGGAAAAUCAUUUGUCUCCUUUGUAAAACUUGUGCUCUGGAUUGCAUUGGCAGAUGUACAACGGGAUAGAGGAGAACACCAUGGGCACCUGUUCAGAGCUUAUCUUUGCACCCAUAGACGCAUCUUUUGGUGAUGAUUCCCCGCUGCUGCCUUCCGGUUUUCGCAUCAUUCCGAUUGACUCUCCUCUCGUAAGUGGAUUUCACCUAAAUAUGAGACAACAUCUGAGCUUGCGACUAUAAAUUUAAUCCUCUCUCCCUGCUGCAUGUAUGUUUCGCAGGACACGUCUAGCCCGAACUGCACGUUGGACCUCGCAUCCACCCUUGAGGUUGGAACACCCGGAAGCAGGAUAACCGGUCACUCCAGGAGUGGCUCGAAGGCUGUGAUGACAAUCGCGUUUCAGUUUGCCUUCGAGAGUCACCUGCAGGACAGCGUGGCGGCCAUGGCGCGGCAGUACAUGCGCAGCAUCAUCUCGUCGGUGCAAAGGAUAGCACUGGCGCUGUCGUCCUCGCACCUCGUGCCCCAUGGAAGCUCUCAUCUCGUCCCCCCUGUUACUCCGGAGGCGGCCACGCUCUCCCGAUGGAUUGUCCAGAGCUACAGGUCUGUGCUCUGUGGUCUUGCAGUUAUCAUAGUAUACCAGGGUGUAUUCGGUUAGUUUGUGUUUUGUGCUGAUGCUGCUGGGUUGAUCGUGCAGAUUUCACUUUGGGGCCGAGCUCAUCAAAGCCGCAGACGCUGGCAGCGGCGAGUCGGCGCUCAAAGCCCUCUGGCAGCAUACCAGCGCCAUACUAUGCUGCUCUCUCAAGGUACUGUUCCAGGGUUUUACUCACCUUUGAACAGCUUCUGCUUCCAGCACAUGCUAUGCUGUUGUGGUAUUUCUCCACUGGCUUUGAUCUGACGGCGUCGUGAUGGUGCUGCAGGCGAUGCCGGUGCUGACGUUCGCGAACCAGUCCGGGCUGGACAUGCUGGAGACGACGCUGGCGGCGCUCCGGGAGAUCACCAUGGACAAGGUGCUGGACUACGACCAGGGGAGGAAGAGCCUGCUGUGCGCGGACCUGAUGGCCAGCGUCGCGGAGCAGGGGUACGCGUGUGUCGAGGGCGGGACGUGCGCGUCGAGCAUGGGCCGGCCGGCGUCGUACGGGAAGGCGGUGGCGUGGAAGGUGCUCGACGACGGCGGCGCCGGCGCCGCCCACUGCGUCUGCUUCGCCUUCAUGGACUGGUCCUUCGUCUAGUCGAGGGAUGGACGAUCGUUUGUUGUCGCCAAGUCUCGAGCGAGCAUCAGACCUGAGUGAGAGUAACUUUGUGGGACUGGGUGCGGUGCAAUGUUUGGAUGAUGGUGGUGCUCUGUACGGAUUGAUGGUGUGCCGAGAUUGGUGAUGCUGUUUGCUUGGUCUGUACCGCUUACAUUUCCUCCUUUUUAUCCUCUACUCUAUCUACAAGCAAUGGGUACAACUUAGAAGCGGAUGCUCACACCGCCACAUGUAGGGAUAACAACGAAGCUGGUGGAACUGGCUACCACACCUGUUUCAGUGGAAGCCAAAACGAUCGAGGCGUUUCGGUGUUUGGGCUUAUAAUUGUGGAUAGAAUAUUGAUGCCCGUCCACGCGCACGCAGACGCCUUAUAGUUCGUGUGCUGCCGCUGGGAGCUGCGUGGUGUGCAUCUGGGCGCAUAUAUACUAGAUCGGGAUUGCGCCUCGGCGCAAAGAUGCCGGUCCAAACGCCAGGUUUAGAAUAUGCAUUCACACCGUAUACAUCAUACAAAGAAUAAUGGCCAAGGUAACAAUAUUUACAAUCCACUCAGUAUAUACCGUAAAAGAAAAUCCAAGGACAAUCUAUAUACAGUUGUACUCAGCCAUCAACCGUAUUAUCAACUUUAACAAUAAGCUUGUAGUAUCAACUUUAACAAUAAGCUUAUCAAAAUUAAAAUGGCCUAAGUAAGCACUGGCCCUCAUCCAAUACAUAAAAUCCAUAGCAUAGAAAGCAUCACAAGCAUAGAAAGCAUAUCUUUGUCAGCCGAGCAACCAGAUUUAAGCAAAGUAAUUUUUUCACUCAUUAUUCUGUCAACCGUGAUAAAAAUAAAAAACUAAUGAAGAAUCAUUCAGAAGUAAGAUUUGUUUGUAUGCACACAAUAAGGAGCCACCUAACAAUGUACGAACAUGAAAGCACGUAGCACAAUAGGUUUAGUAGCAAAUAUCACAGGCAUAGGACGUUAGUGAAGUGCACUGUAGGUCCUUGAACUAUUCUAGGGAUGUCACGUAGGUCCUCAAACUAUGAAAAUCGUCAUCUAGGUCCUCAAAGUGCAGUAAGUGUGUCAUUCAGGUCCAAAAUCUCCCUGACAGGCUCUAACUGGCCAGCUGGCACAUAAACAGUAACCGUAACAGUACGCGGCAAACAGUCCUGAAUUCCCGUGCGUGAUGAACAGUACACGACAAAGAAUAAAUAUAAAAAAAUAUCAAAAAACUGAGAUCCUCUGUCAUCGAAGAGACCCUGGCGCGUGAACAGUAAAAAUGUCAUUAAUUCAAAAAAAGUUCGCGAACGAUGAAUUUGGAAAAAUAUUUGUGACUUUAAUAAAAUGUUCGCGAAUGAUGAAUUUGGAAAAAAAUAUUCGCGACUUCAAAAAAAUAUUCGUGAGUUUAGAAAAAGUUCGCGAAUGAUGAAUUUGGAAAAAAUAUUCACGACUUUAAAAAAAUGUUCGUGAACGAUGAAUUUGGGAAAAAUAUUCGUGAGUUUAAAAAAAGUUUGCGAACGAUGAAUUUGGAAAAAAUAUUCAUGACUUUAAAAAAAUGUUCACGAACGAUGAAUUUGGAAAAAAUAUUCGUGACUUUAAUAAAAUGUUCGCGAACGAUGAAUUCGGAAAAAUUAUUUGCGACUUUAAUAAAAAGUUCACUAACAUUUUUUAAAGUCAGGAAUUUUUGUGGUUCGCGAACAUUUUUUUCCAUACCCACGAACAAUAUUUGUGGUUCGCGAACAUAUUUUCAAAUUUAUUGUUUGUGAACUUUUUUAAAGUCGCGAAUAUUUUUCCCGUAUUCGCGAACAUUUUUUUGAAUUAAUGAACAUUUUUACUAUUCACGCACCAGGGGUAUCUUUGAUGCCAAAGAUUUUCAGAUUUUUUUGUUCAGAUUUUUUUAUUUUUCACACUGUUCACCAUGCCAGCUGGCCAUUUAGAGGGGGUUAGUGAGAUUUUGGACCUGGAUGACACACUUACUGUACUUCGAGGACCUAAAUGACGAUUUUCAUAGUUCGAGAACCUAUAUGACACCCCUGAAAUAGUUUAAGGACCUACAGUGCACUUCACUCAAAGCACAUGGUAGCUUACAGACGAUCCACAACUUUGCAUGCCUUGGGCAUAAUGUAGACCAGGAGGAAUGACAACACGACGCGUUCAUACUGAUUGGUCCUCCAAGAUCCAAUGUAGAGGUGUUGAAAAAGAUGGUCACACAGGUCUUGCCGUUCUCAUGUACAACACGAUUAUACUGAACCGGUGAUUAGCCCAAGGUCAAGAAAUGUCCUGUGUGGGAUCCUAAACACUCGCUUGGUAUCCUGCAGCGACGUUAAGUCUAUCGGUUAAUCAGAUUGUCAUCGAGCAGAGCAUUUUUAAAAACAACGGGGUUAUUAAUCAGUUGAAAAUACAACUUGUUUUAGUAAGAGCAGUCGAUAAGGUAAGAUCAAUAUGAUCACCUUCAAAGACAAAAAUCUAAUUAGCAGUAGAAUGCUUGCGCUUUCUAAACAAAAUACAUCUACAUAGAAGGCCUAGACAACAUCUAAUCAAUCGAGGAGACACCUACAGAGCUAUUAACUACACAAAGAGCACAUCAAAGAAAUAGAGUUAAAAUCAUCACACUGCCUGGAUCUAAAUAUCACUAUUUCUUUACUACUAUCUGCCAGCAUCAAUAAUCCCUAGAUCAGAUGUGUGUUUCUUUGCAGAGUUAGCAAUGUUUACAUCUGUGAGUACUUAUUUUGAUUAUAAAAAAUCCCGAGUCACACACUCAUCAUAUUUUUGCAACCGUCCAGUAAAAUCAGAGACGGGACAGGAUGGGUUUCACCUGACCUGUGCAAGCACCCGUAGACGGCUGUUAGUGGAGCCAGCGGAACCUGACGUGCCAUGGACAUCGAGCUCUUCGUCAGCCAUCGCCAUUUGAACAGAACAUGUGGAUACAAGAAAUUACUCAGAGGCGGGCACACAUUUAGAGUUCAAAAGGAAAACAAACCAUGUGUCCAUUAAUGAGGACCGACCUGGUCGGUGGAGCCGAGCUGCGAAGGGAGAAUCGAGAUAGAGGGCUUGUCCGGGCACCAAGAGCUCUAUCAAUGGGGAAACUCCGCAAUUCGGUCUUUUUCCUCUGGUGAGUUCUGCGCCAUCCUUAAAUGAUUCAUUAGCAGCUACCAAGAAACGAUCUGCAGAAAACAAAAUCAAAGUGAAAUCAAAUGGAAUCACAUGCAGGAAGCAAUGAAGUACUAUACAUGCAAAAAAAAAUCCAUGAGGAAGGAAGGGAGCCCAAUGGAUUAUCAUUUUAUUCCAAUAAUUAAUUAAAUAACAUUAUCUGCCCCAUCAUAGGAGCACAAGAUGUGUACAGGGCAACAAGAAUAACUCUCAUCAAAUGGCACUAAGGAGAGCUAAUCAGAUAGAAUACACAUACGUUAAAUGAUGGUAUGAAGCAAAAGGGAGCCAAAUGAAAUUUUUCUACUUACACAUUAUAUAAACAAUCGAGGCACGCAUAUGCAACCUCAAAUUCAGAACACAAAGAAAAAAAAAGUGCAGCCACCUAAUGAGAAUAACCAUGACAGAACGCAUACAUCUCACCAAGCAAAGAACUGGUUGUGAACUUGAGGCCAAUUCAUAUAAGUUCCCAUUCAAACAUUUCUGUAAUUGAACUACUUCUCCUAUCUUCAAACCACACACUUCCUGAAGCUGCAAUUAUAGAUGCACUUGCAGCAGAAGUGAAUAUUGGAAAGCAUGGCAAAUCUGACAUAUAAUUUAAAUCAAACAUUCAUGUAGUUAUUAAAUUAGUGCUUCUCAUGACGCAGUAGAAAUAAAUAGUCCAUGUCUCUGUUUUAUAUUGCGGUUAUAUAGUAUGCUUCGUCAGUUUUAGAACCUAAGCUAGUCUUCCAGAUUGCUUAUUAGCUUAGGCACUCCUGUAUUUUUCUCACUGCUUGCUAUACUUCUUUUUAAUAUAUUUUUUGGAAGGAUCAGUAUUAAACAAUAAAUGAAAGUACACUUGCUCCUGCAGUGAAGCAAAUACUGCUGCUCGAUGUUUCUUUUCUAGCUUAAAUAUAUUUUUGGUGUGAAUAAACUAAAUUUGUUAUUUAUUUUACAGAAACAGUAGAGGAUAUCCAUAUAGAGCAAGACAAGUAAAGUUGCUGAUCUGAGAUAAUAUGUGCAUAAUCUGGAAAUGCAAAAUAUCAUAAGUCAUCAGGUUGUUUCCUGACUAACAGACUACUAUUUUUCUCACACAGCGAGUCAUUUUUUUGGUGUGAAUUCCAUUCAAUGAAAGAAUUUAGAAGGCUUAGCUAUGUUGUAUAUGCACUACUCAGUUUAUUUCAAAAAAAGAAAGAAAAAUUAUGGUUGCAUGGUGGAUCACACAAAUCAAAUAGAUAAUGGAAAUGGUGAAUCUUGGCAGGAAGGGUACUAACCAGUCCAGUAGCCAUGGAUGAACUUCUGUAGGGAUGUGCAAUCAAAGUGAAUUCUUGUACCUGUAAAAUAUAUCACUCAAUAAAAAGAUGGGAAGUGAAAUAACAUUGAGAUCACAUUUGCGAAGCUAAUCAGAUACUCCAUCUGCUCAAGUACUUAAAUAUGUACUCCCACCGUUCCUAAAUAUAAGUCUUUGAAGAGAUUUCACUAUGGACCACAUACGAAUGUAUCUAGAUGCAUUUUAGAGAAAUCUCUACAAAGACCUAUAUUUAGGAACGGAGGGAGUAUGUCAUAAUUAUGACUAUUGCAGUGCUUGAUAUUCUUUAAUCAAGAUAUAACCAUGUAUUCUGAGAUCAAAUUGUACGGGGAAGUGUUCAUAACAACAUAAGCACAUGGUAUAUGUGUGUAUAUAAAUAAAGUCUGACACAAGAGCAUACAUGAUAAAGUAGAGAAGAUGUGCCAACAAGAUUAACAGGUCACUCCAUUUAAAAGUCCUCGACUGAAACGACUACAAAUGCCAGUAAAAAUAUUAGUGGAACAAAUCCAGUCACGAAAUGGAGCACAUGCAGGAUGGGGAUCAGAUGCAACCUACCCCCUAAACCAGAACUGCUUCACCAGAUGUGGUGGCAUAAAUCUUGCUCUAUAUGUAUCACGAGAGAGAGAGAGAUCGAGAGGGGUGGGAUGCAGGGAGUGGCUGACCUUGAGCGGUAGUGGUUGUGGUGGCCGUGCCGGCGGCGACACAGCUUCACCGGAGCAGUUUCACUGGAAGAACAACCAUGGCGUCAGGCAGAAUCGCCUCGGGCACGGACCCCUUUUCCCCUCGCUAAGAGCAGAUAAGAACAUGUAAAGGAAGUAACAAACAUAUAUACUAUAAGAACAUGUAAAGGAAGUAACAAACAUAUAUACUAUAAGAGCAGUUUAAUCAAUCCUAAUUAGGUCUCUGUGAAUGUUUACUCUCAAUUAAAAUUUUAAACAAGGUCACAUUAAUUCGGUUAAUUUAGAAUAAUUAGAGAAACCACAUAACCAAUUGGAGCUAGAUAUAUGCAUCAAAAAGGCCUGAUUACCUAUACUACAAUCAAAAGUAUCAUAUACUGUUAUAGAUUUGCUAUACCUGGGCGUGUAGAGGAGCAGAGGCGGAGCUCCUUCUUGUGUGUGUGUCGGAUCUCCUCAUCCAAGGCCGAUGGUUGCGAGCUCGCCAAUCAAACCCUGGGUCAGGGCCAUGGGAGGUGGAGGCGAGGCAUGCCGGCCAAGAUUUUUAAAAGGGAACAUAAAGCAGCAUGAGCAUGAGGCGUAGAAAAAUGGGGUCACCUUAAGAUCAAGAAACAGUGGCCUUCUCCUAGUUCAGAUCAGAAGGAAAGAACCACUAUUAUUGAUUAGAGUUAUUCUUAAUUAGGCAAAGCACUACAACACGGGAUCCUAAGCUAUAAUUGAGGCAUACAAAACUAUAAGUGUCUAUUUUUUCAUAUAUAAACAACCUUUAGUAUCUCAACCAGAACCAAAGCAAAAAAAGUCAUGGUUAAGUAACCGGCAAAGGAAGAAUGAACCUUUUGGACUUUUAAAGUAGCAAGAGAUGAAAAGUUCUUUUUUGCCUUCAAUAUUACACACAGUAGGGGAGGUAGCUGCUGUUUUAUUGCACAAUGGGCUCAGAUUCGCCUUUCCUCGAUCAUAUAACCUACCCCCAUAAUCUCUUAUCACCAGAUCAAUCUGUUUAUACAGUAGAGCUGCCCUGGUUAUCACUCAACAAGAAUGACCAUCCAAGGACAACAACAAGUAUCACAGGAUCAAAAAGGAUUCUAGAGACAAGAGGGAGGAUCCAACUUGAUGCCCACAGGUGCCUCGACUGCUCAAAGGCACACUUAUUUCAGCGACGGUUAAUCAUCAUCGCCCUAGCAAGAAUGGCUUCCGACCGAUGGGGCACGUGAUACACACGCGGUGGCAUGAGAUAUCUCACCGUGGGAGUAACUUUCAUUGCUACAGGAGCUCGGUCUCGAUCCAACGGCCGAGAUCAAUCCAGAGCGAGAUCCGAGGAUCAGAAUCACAUCAGGAAAUCGAUCCGACGAGCGAAAGUGCCUGAGCUCCGAGCAGCCAGGGAACUUGCCGCGGGUCUUAUUUCUGGAUGGAUCACCAGAUCAAUAUGUUCUUACGAGGGUGAAACUGCCCUGGUUAUCACUCAUCAUAAAUGACCAUCCAAGGACAGAGCCACUAAAAUAAGAACGUGAUAAAAACGGCCGAAAGAAACGAGGGAGGAUCCAAAUUAAUACCCACAAGUGCCUCGAUUGCUCGAGAGCAUGCCUAUAUCAGCCAUAACUAAUCAUCAUGACCCUGGCCAUGUCCCAUACAGUAGCCAAAGCAGCCGAAGCAGAGCAGGGGAAAAUGGAGCUCACCAAGGGAGGUUGUAGCCGAGGCAGUACUCAGUGGGCGUCGGGGUUGCGCCUGAACGCCGUCCAACCUGCGAGGAACCACGUCAGAGUUGCGCCUUGCACCGUCCCGCCAAUGAGUACGAACGCCACUGGCACUGAAGCGGCCAAGGAGACGAGUAGGCGGAGAAGACCGGGGCGUAGUCAAUUCUCUUUUAGCUGCAAUCAAGGAUACGAUUUGCUAGAACAUUCUUGUGGUCAAAACUUAUCAUCAUGCAAGCAAUAAUGGGCCUAUCUAUUAGCUUCUUGUAGUGCCAAAGGUAAAAUCAAAAGGCCUUUUACUGCCACCUUACAUCGAGGCAGUACAACUACAGUGGUUAUAGUCUCAGGUCAAAGCAUUAGUAAGCACAUGACCAUAAGUACGUGACAGCUAACAAAAUUUUAAAUGUAAGGGAAAAAACAGAGAUUAUGUCAGUUGUGCCAUAGUACCUCAUUGGCCGCUGGAUGGCAAGUGGCACUACCGCCAGAGACACGAAGAGGACCAGCAGGGCAUCGAUUAGUUGGAACACGCCAAACUGUAAUAGAAAGUUAAACUUUGCAAAUCAGGUUCCUACAAAAGUUAACUUUACAAAGCAACGAACAAUAUGUGCUAGUAUAUUCAAAGUAUUAAAAGGUGAAAGAAAUAGAUAACAGAUAAAUCACAAAACUGGCAGAACUAUUUGCCAACUAAAAUAUAAAUAUCCUAGCUAUGCUUAAAUAUCCUGCUGGCACAAUCAGUUUCUGAUCAAUGGUGUAUUUCAAAGCAAAAAAAGGCAGGGAAAUGCUAUAAUAGAAUUAUGGCUCCAGAAAAAAAUACUGGCCAACUAAUAGAAAUCAAAGGAUAACUACAAGUGAUGCAUCUAAAGAAAAUAUGACAUCAAAUAUUGGCCAAUUAAUAGAUCAAAGUAUGGCUCAACACAAUAACAAAAAUCCACUCAUAUACUUCCAUGCCAACCUAAAAGGAUUAAGAUGUCAAACGGUCGAAAGAAAAUCCUACAGUUUUGCAAUGCAAUUUUUUUGCUGACUCACGAUAUAAUGAUAUGUGAAGCUCUAAUGUAAGUUCAGAACAUACAUAAUUUAGUGCCUCAAAGCUACAGUUUAUAUGUGCUUGUUGGUGCCUCCAUUGUCAUAGAAGCCUCUCGUUAUUGACACCACUCUUGAAAGACGCAGCCAGACCCCCAUUGCACUACUGCCAAAGUGUCUUUGUAUAUUGUGCUAACUACACUUGAAGCUUGAAGACAAAAUACAUAUAUCUCAGGCAAUGUAACAAUCUGUCCCAAGAGAUUGUGGUUAGCCAAGAUCAAUUCAAGGCACAUAUCAUAUAAAAAAUAAUCCUACAUUACUUCAUGAUCUCUUAGGCCAUUUCCAUAUUAUUUAAAAUCAACAAAUUGUGACGCACGGAUAAUCAAGCUACACUAACCUCUGCUAAUAAUGCCACGUUACCUCGAUUACUGUUGCUAAUCUCGCGUUAGUUCGAAACCGAUUCAAAUUCAAUUUCAAAAGAAAAGCAAACAACAAAAGUUUUCAAAAAUUAAAACUAAAAUGUUCGGGUUGUUUCAAAUAAAUCGUAAGCAAUUAUGGUGGAGAAACCAAGCUUUUAUAAAAUGCUUAAAUGAACUAUAAGGAUUUAAACAGUAGCAAAAGCAAUUAAUUAAAUGCCUUUUACAAUUAAUAAAUUACUAAACUAUUUUAUUUUGUCACCAAACUUUUUGUGGCAUUGGGGUAUUUUGUAACACUAAUUUAGGUACUACUUGUAUAUUUUAUAAAACAAAAAUAUAUAGAAAAUAAAAUAGAAAACUAAUAAACAGAAAACAAAUAAAUACAAAAAAGGGCCUAGGCUACUGAUGAGGACUGGGCCUAAGUGCACAGUGCCUGGAACCCAGCCCACCACGGCCUCCUCCUCCUCCCCCCUGUUCGCUGUUCAAGCGACCGAGGCGUGCCCGCCGUCGCCGCCGAACCCACCUCGUCGACCACACCGCUACAGGCGUCGCGGGUGGAUAAAGAUCCACCUCUCCUUCCCCUCGGCCUCCCCUCAAUCCCUAUCCACUCUCCCUCCCUCGCCAUCGCUCGCUCCGCCCCUCCUCUCCUCCAGAUCCGCGGCCCGAGCGCCCUCGCCGCCGACCUCCGUCGUUGCCACGGCCACCGACGGCCCCGUGCCUGCUGGCCUUGUCCACGGGCCUCGCCGCGGUCGGCAACCUCUCCUGGUGCCACCAGGUGGAGAUGUGGAGCCCCGCUGCCUCCGUUCGCCUUCGUCCACAUCUCUGGUCGCUGCCGCUCAUCCUCGGCUCUGACGACGUCUCUGCAACUCCUAAACCACCAGGGGCCAUCGUGUGAGCCACUCGGUGAGCUCCACCCCUUUCCUCUCCCCGUCCUAGCUCCGUUUACGUGCCGCAUCAAGCUGUGCACGAUGCGCCGCCACUGCCGCACCCUGACUCCGCUAUCGAGCUCGCAGCCAUCACGGUAGGGCUCGUCCCGGUCCGCCGAGCUCACCAACAAGUUCGUGGCUUCGAGUAGUCGCCGUAGGAGUAGCGCGCCGCCCAUUUUGGCCUCCGUUUCAUCGCGCGCGAGUUCGCCGUGCUUCGGGUCUCCGCCAUCCCUGUCGCCGGCGGCGGCUCCGGCCAUCACAGCUCGCGUGGCCACCCGCAUUGGAUGCGGCGUUGCUCACUCGUUCGAACGUGCCAACGCACGGGCCAAAUGGCCCCCUAUACGUGGAUUCCGGCGAGAUCCCGAGCGCCUCUGCCGUAUUUUCGGUCCCCGGCGUUUAACCGCCGGCCACCAUCGACGUGGCACACCUGGGGCCACCCCUGGGUCACUGCCAGUGGGGCCCCUGGCCUCCUGUUGACCAGUUGACCCGGUCAACUUUGCUGACUGUGCACUCAGUGCCACUGACACACGCCCCCCGCCUUUUUAACCUAAUUAAAACGUUUUCCUAAAUAAAGAUAAUUAGCUAAACUAAUGAGUCACUGACUAGUGGGGUCCAAUCACUAAUUAUUCUGUUUAAAUUAAAAUGAAUUGUUGUUAGCCCACUGCCAAUGACAGGUGGGACCAAUUGGCCAGUUUGACCAGUCAGCGGGUCUGUUGACCUGCUGAUGUCAUGCUGACACUCUGUUGACGUCAUAAUUCAUUUCUGUUAAUUUAAAUAAUUUCUGAAAAUGGUUUAAUCUUUAGAAAUUCAUAGAAAUUAACCCGUAAGUCGGAUGAAAAUGUUUUCUAUAUGAAAGUUGCUCAGAAAAAUCCAAAGAAUCCGAAUACGCGGUCCGUUCAUCCGUCACAUGCCCCUAGCAUGCUGAACGUGGGACUUUCCCCCUCCGGUCAUUUGUCUAACACAGGUCCGGAACCGGGAAAACAUUCCCGGUUGACUUCCCCCCUCGCCGGUAUCGUGUAGCACCACGUUAGAACACGCCUAGCUCUGCUGGUUAUCCUGUUAUGCUAUGUUUGCUUUAUAUUUACUAUUUCUUCCCCCUCUUCUCUCCAGUAGACCCCGAGACCGAUGAUGCCCCUGUGAUCGACUACGUCACCGACGACCCCUCCUUGCCAGAGCAACCAGGCAAGCCCCCCCCCCUUGAUCACCAGAUAUCGCCUAUUCUUCUCUAUACUGCUUGCAUUAGAGUAGUAUAGCAUGUUACUAUUCGGUUACUCCUAUUCUGUUGCAUAGCCUGUCAUUGUUGCUACAGUCAUUGAUACCCUACCCGCAAUCCUAAAUGCUUAGUAUAGGAUGCUAGUUUAUCAUCAUUGGCCCUACAUUCUUGUCAGUCUGCCUUGCUACACUAUCGGGCCGUGAUCACUUGGGAGGUGAUCACGGGUAUAUACUAUACAUAUAUACAUACUAUACAAAUGGUGACUAAAGUCGGGUCAGCUCGUUGAGUACUUGCAAGUGAUUCCGAUGUGGGGGCUGGAAGGACAGGUGGCUCCAUCCCGGUAGAGGUGGGCCUGGGUUCCCGACGGCUCCUGACUGUUACUUUGAGGCGGAGCGACAGGGCAGGUUGAGACCGCCUAGGAGAGAGGUGGGCCUGGCCCUGUUUGGCGUUCGCGGAUACUUAAUAUGCUUAACGAGAUCUUGGUAUUUGAUCCGAGUCUGGCUACUGGCCUAUACGCACUAACCAACUACGCGGGAAUAGUUAUGGGCACUCGGCGUCGUGGUAUCAGCCGAAGCCUUCGUGAUGUCAGCGACUGAGCGGCGCGCGCCAUAUUGGACCGCGUAACGUGACUUCCUUUGUAAUGGAGGUUGCUAGAUCUGCUUCCAGCCGCGUACGCAACGUGCAGGAGUGCAAUGGGCGAUGGGCCCAGACCCCUGCGUGCAUAGGAUUUAGACCGGCGUGCUGACCUCUCUAUUGUGCCUAGGUGGGGCUGCGACGUGUUGAUCUUCCAAGGCCAGGCAUGACCCAGGAAAGUGUGUCCGGCCAAAUGGGAUCGAGCGUGUUGGGUUAUGUGGUGCACCCCUGCAGGGAAGUUAAUCUAUUCGAAUAGUUGUGAUCUUCGGUAACAGGACGACUUGGAGUUGUACCUUGACCUUAUGACAACUAGAACCGGAUACUUAAUAAAACACACCCUUCCAAGUGCCAGAUACAACCCGGUGAUCGCUCUCUAACAAGGCGACGAGGAGAGGAUCGCCGGGUAGGAUUAUGCUAUGCGAUGCUACUUGGAGGACUUCAAUCUACUCUCUUCUACAUGCUGCAAGACGGAGGCUGCCAGAAGCGUAGUCUUUGAUAGGACUAGCUAUCCCCCUCUUAUUCUGGCAUUCUGCAGUUCAGUCCACUGAUAUGGCCUCCUUACACAUAUACCCAUGCAUAUGUAGUGUAGUUCCUUGCUUGCGAGUACUUUGGACGAGUACUCACGGUUGCUUUCUCCCCCCUUUUCUCCCUUUCCUUUCUUUCUGGUUGUCGCAACCAGAUGCUGGAGUCCAGGAGCCAGACGCCACCGUCGACGACGACUCCUACUACACCGGAGGUGCCUACUACUACGUGCAGCCCGCUGACGACGACCAGGAGUAGUUAGGAGGAUCCCAGGCAGGAGGCCUGCGCCUCUUUCGAUCUGUAUCCCAGUUUGUGCUAGCCUUCUUAACGCAAACUUGUUUAACUUAUGUCUGUACUCAGAUAUUGUUGCUUCCGUUGACUCGUCUAUGAUCGAGCACUUGUAUUCGAGCCCUCGAGGCCCCUGGCUUGUAUUAUGAUGCUUGUAUGACUUAUUUAUGUUUUAGAGUUGUGUUGUGAUAUCUUCCCGUGAGUCCCUGAUCUUGAUCAUACACAUUGCGUGCAUGGUUAGUGUACGAUUGAAUCGGGGGCGUCACAAGUUGGUAUCAGAGCCGACUGCCUAUAGGAAUCCCCCUUUCCAACUCCUUGGCCGAAGUUGAGUCUAGUCGAUGAAAAUUGUUUUACUAACUUGGCUGUGCGGCCCAUGGGCCCAUGUCGCCAAUUGGGUAGUAUUAGGAUCUUUUAUUCCUCGACCUAUACUCUGGGACUCUAAUCUCUCCUCUAUUCGGGUUAAAUGAUUUUCUAAAAAUCUAACUUUAGGUUCUCGAAAAUACUUUCUCCCGGAGAGCCCCUCACUCCCGAUGAUCGUUUGUUACACCAGAAGAUUCCGAAGAUACUCGCUGAAGUUCUCUCGAGACUUUGUGCCCACUUCUUUUGCAAUUCCCUACCACCGAUAAAUCCUUAUGGAUAACUUAUUACCCUUGCCAUUCUUACAUUCAUCCCUAGCUGCUCUUGUUAUUACAAGAUGCAUCGAAUUGUUCUUCGACUUUUAAGAAUCUUUUGAGCCAUUGCAUUGCAAAUCUUUGCCACAUGAAUACCCCCUAUGGAUAACUCCUCACACUUACCGAGUAUCCAUUCUUUCAACAUUGUUCAUGUGUUCCACAGUGGUCUUCGAAAUACUAUUUGAUACUCCAAAAAUCCUUAGUAGCUUAUUGCUCUGCAAUACUUGUCUGCUUGCAUUUUGGAUGCUUUCCAUAUGUCUGGCAAUAUUCGUUAGUAUCCUUAGGCACCGUCAUUUUGAUCCUAUUGAUUCAAAAUGAGUGCGAAUGCAUGCAAUCAUCAGUUGAUCCUUUUAAAUUAUCUUUCCGACUCAGACGUCACUUUAAACAUGAGCUUGAUCUCGACCAAUCAAAUUGUUGUCGAUUUUACCCCUAAGCUUACUCAACUUAUCCAUCCUUAAUCAGAGCGUUUGCUUCUGAUCCUUUGAUUUGGUAAUCAUAAUUCCUUUACAUGUGAGCUUUGAAUUAGUAAGUUGCUUCUAUAAUCCAAUGCCUUCGCAUUGUUUCUUCCUCUGGUUGUGUGCCGAUACUCACAUCAGUUUCACUAAGGACUGUCGGAUCCUUUGUUGAAAUAUCAUUCGACAGUGUCCUUCAUAUACAAAAACCUCGAGAAGUUCUUUCCCUGAUACAUAAUGCCUUAGGUAAAUUGUAUCCUCUGUUUUUGUCAACCAUGCUCUACUAUCGAGCUUGUGUUAGUUACUAUUGAAGCUUGUGGUAUAUGUUUCCACGAUACCCUGAUGGGUUGAACCUAUGCCUUCCUUAAUAUGUGGGAACUCGAAAGUUUUCACGAGUCAUACUCAUCUGGUAUUACACCAGGUAAAGCUUUCAACACUAAUGCCUUUAUCAAAGCGAGAAGUGAAUGGGAGGUUAUACAUUGAAGAAGUGGGAGUCGACCUUGAACCUUGCGUUCAUGCCCAUGGACACGAUGUAUAACUUAUCAUGGAAGCUACUCGUAAAAAUAGUUACCCCCUUGUUAUAAGUUCAUCCUGUAUCCAUGGUUCGAUCAUUUAUGAUCGAGGUUUUCGACCAUGUUCUUCUUUAAAUACCAUUUCUCAUGCAAGUUUAAGCACUUGUCUUCUGUAGAGUAAUACCCCAGUCCAACCUCUACUUUGCUUUGUCCUCGAGUAUUACCCCCCAGGUAUCUCAAGAUUAUCACGGAACUGCAUAACUUCUUAUGAGUUCUUCAUCAAGUGCUACAUUCUCAUUGAUUCCAAUUUUUCACGGGCUCUGAGUUAUUUAACACUCAAAGACACCGAUAAUCGACACGAGUCUGCAUCGCGAUUAAGCAACUCUUGGUAACCUUCAUUACUUACGAGUUUGAAUUCCAUCACAUCAUUCCUAGCCUGUUUGUCUAUAUCCUUGUCGUGCCGAUUUUAACUGUGCUACCUGGUCCUCUUCCCAGAGCAUAAUUUUUGACGAUGAGCUAAGCUUACGUCGAUCUUUCCUCAUCAUAUCAUUUCGCUUUGGACAACAAGCUUGCUUUGGGGUUUGUGUCCUAACCGUGGUUCCAAUAACCUUUCGCUUCAUCAUUCGUUUGACUUGAUGUCAUCGUCGAUCAAUUACAUCUUCGUGUAACCUCUCGACAAAUGUGUCGUGAUCAUCAUCAACCUUAUGAGCUCUUCCAGGAUAUCAAUCGGAUUCAUGAUGAGAAAUACAUCCUUGCCUCAAUGAUUUGUGUUAUCAUCAACCACUAUACUGCCUUCCCUCCAACACAAAUUUGUUCGUGUUUUGUGUUAUACCUUCAGUUCCUUGCUACCCAACAUUGUUCUUCUUUACCUUGGAAUAUUACCACCUUUUAUGUCAAGAAUAUCGUGGGAAUUUCACCACCUCUUAAGAAUUCUUGGUAUGGUGAUACUUCUCACCAUCACCAUUCUUUCUUGGGUCCUCGUGUUGAUUCCAACCAAGGUACCAACAAGUGAGCGGUGCUGUUUGGAUUCCGCCCUUUUAGCAACCCUAUUGCUUUGAAGUUAAUGGUCGGCCGUUCAUUCUUAAACUAUUGAUAAUUGAAUCACCAUUCCAAUGUUGGCCGUGCAACCCGGCCCAUAUUCCGGGUGCACCUUUCAACCAUUGUUAAAUUGUGUAUGUUUUCCUCAAGCAUACAUCAAUAUAUCAUUUUGAUCUAACAAAUGUUAUCUCCUUGUUCACAUAAUUGUGGAAAUCCAUCCUUUGGAAAUUUUGAUGAAUUGUCGUUGAGUUCAUCAGCCACCUCCUUGUCCUCUCCUUGGGUUAAUGAUGAACUCUUGUUAACGGAAAUUACUUCAUAGUUCAUUUCCUGAGAAUCUUACAGUGUCAUCCCGUCAAUUUGUGUUGCACCUUUCUUCUCAGGCAUCCCGAGUCUGAGGUAUCCUGACACCAAUCAGAUCUGAAUCUUGGUCAGAUAUGAUGGUUGGAACAUUUUCCAAGAGUCAGAACAUUGGUCUUUAUAUGACCCGGUAAGGUGAUGUCAUGCCUAGCACACCUGGCCGGAGGACCAAUUGUUAUAGUUUCCAUCUUAGCAAGGUUAACCAUUCUUCCAUGAGGAAAUUGUGAAACUUAUUUUAUAAGUUGUUCCUGAUGAAUCCUUUGUAUAUCCAAGUCUGACCUUUGCUUGAAGACCAUGUCAAUGCUAUCUCGAAGCAUGUCUAUGGUACUUCGAUUUUCAACAAAAACAUUUGAAGCCCAAAGCUAAAUGUUUCUUGCCUAGUUAUCCAAACACCGUUGUAUGGGUAACAUCUUGAUUAAUCCUUGCCUCUUUUCUGAAUGGUUGGGUACUUGCUCACCUACCCUGUAUGCCAUGUUCUGCUUGUACAUGGAAAGGAUAUUGUCCUAAUAAUUGUGUGUAAUCAUAAAUUUUCUUUCCAUUGUUCUGUUUAAUCUGAUAAUCACGUUUUCCUUUCCAUUCUUUUUUUAGCCUUUCCUGUAAUCCGACUUAACUAAGUAGAGAUAAUUCCCUUCUUAGGUAAGCACCUUGUUGUACCGCUCUGUCUGUAAGACCCUGUUACUAUUGUUGAUGACAUUCCGGUAACCAUCGAUGGACGAGAACUUUGCCUAUUGGUCCGCCUCGUUCAAUGAGCAGGAAAAUGGUUCUCUUCAUCCCUCGCCUUUGGUAUCACUGUUGUUGCCGACAUAACUGAUAGGCUACCCUCUGACAUACCUUGCUUGCAUGAUCACGCAAGACGUCUCCGCCCUUAAUACUUUUAACCCACAUGGUGGGCCCAUAACCCACAGUUCCACAGGAUCGAAACCUGACUCUCCUGUACACCCAUGUUCCUAAAGCUAAUCCUCACGCUUGGCUUCGUAUGAGAGAUCACGAACCACCUUCCUAGUGAUCUAUUCUGGUAUCAGACACAUUGCUUAUUCCCGUUGCUCUGAACCCCUUUCACGCCUUGUAACAGGCAUCAAAUGAUUGCCUGCCCGCUCGAAACUUCCCAUGAUACCUCCUUACUUUGCUCUCGAUACUUUCUUAAGUUUCAAUUCGAGAGUUACUUCCCACCACCUUCGUCGAUGUUAUUGACCAGAUAGUUAACCUUGCAGAGGUUCGUUCCCCCGGAAUACCCACCCUUUAUUCUUUUGAAAGUACGAUGGAAUUCCCGAAGAAAGGAUGCCAACUUCAUCAUGAUGACCUAAAGCAGAGAAAUGAAUACAUCAACGAAAAGGAUCGACCACUUCAAGAAGAGCAACCAAGAACGAGAAGAUUCGUUAGAAUUCCGUAACCAGACCUUACCCCCUAGUUCCCCUCUUAAAUCUCGGGAUGAGAUUUCUUGUAGUAGAGGAGAAUUGUGACGCCCGGAUAAUCAAGCUACAGUAACCUCUGCUAAUAAUGCCACGUCACCUCGAUUACUGUUGCUAAUCUCGCGUUAGUUCGAAACCGAUUCAAAUUCAAUUUCAAAAGAAAAGUAAACAACAAAAGUUUUCAAAAAUUAAAACUAAAAUGUUCGGGUUGUUUCAAAUAAAUCGUAAGCAAUUAUGGUGGAGAAACCAAGCUUUUAUAAAAUGCUUAAAUGAACUAUAAGGAUUUAAACAGUAGCAAAAGCAAUUAAUUAAAUACCUUUUACAAUUAAUAAAUUACUAAACUAUUUUAUUUUGUCACCAAACUUUUUGUGGCAUUGGGGUAUUUUGUAACACUAAUUUAGGUACUACUUGUAUAUUUUAUAAAACAAAAAUAUAUAGAAAAUAAAAUAGAAAACUAAUAAACAGAAAACAAAUAAAUACAAAAAAGGGCCUAGGCUACUGAUGAGGACUGGGCCUAAGUGCACAGUGCCUGGAACCCAGCCCACCACGGCCUCCUUCUCCUCCCCCCUUUCUCUGUUCAAGCGACCGAGGCGUGCCCGCCGUCGCCGCCGAACCCACCUCGUCGACCACACCGCUACAGGCGUCGCGGGUGGAUAAAGAUCCACCUCUCCUUCCCCUCGGCCUCCCCUCAAUCCCUAUCCACUCUCCCUCCCUCGCCAUCGCUUGCUCCGCCCCUCCUCUUCUCCAGAUCCGCGGCCCGAGCGCCCUCGCCGCCGUCCUCCGUCGUUGCCGCGGCCACCGGCGGCCCCGUGCCUGCUGGCCUUGUCCACGGGCCUCGCCGCGGUCGGCAACCUCUCCUGGUGCCACCAGGUGGAGAUGUGGAGCCCCGCUGCCUCCGUUCGCCUUCGUCCACAUCUCCGGUCGCCGCCGCUCAUCCUCGGCUCCGACAACGUCUCUGCAGCUCCUAAACCACCACGGGCCAUCGUGUGAGCCACUCGGUGAGCUCCACCCCUUUCAUCUCCCCGUCCUAGCUCCGUUUACGUGCCGCAUCAAGCUAUGCACGAUGCGCCGCCACUGCCGCACCUUGACUCCGCUAUCGAGCUCGCAGCCAUCACGGUAGGGCUCGUCCCGGUCCGCCGAGCUCACCAACGCAUUCGUGGCUUCGAGUAGUCGCCGUAGGAGUAGCGCGCCGCCCAUUUUGGCCUCCGUUUCAUCGCGCGCAAGUUCGCCGUGCUUCGGGUCUCCGCCAUCCCUGUCGCCGGCGGCGGCUCCGGCCAUCACAGCUCGUGUGGCCACCCGCGUUGGAUGCGGCCUUGCUCACUCGUUCGAACGUGCCAACGCACGGGCCAAAUGGCCCCCUGUACGUGGAUUCCGGCGAGAUCCCGAGCGCCUCUGCCGUAUUUUCGGUCGCCGGCUUUUAGCCGCCGGCCACCAUCGACGUGGCACACCUGGGGCCACCCCUGGGUCACUGCCAGUGGGGCCCCUGGCCUCCUGUUGACUAGUUGACCCGGUCAACUUUGCUGACUGUGCACUCAGUGCCACUGACACACGCCCCCCCGCCUUUUUAACCUAAUUAAAAUGUUUCCCUAAAUAAACAUAAUUAGCUAAACUAAUGAGUCACUGACUAGUGGGGUCCAAUCACUAAUUAUUCUGUUUAAAUUAAAAUGAAUUGUUGUUAGCCCACUGCCAAUGACAGGUGGGACCAAUUGGCCAGUUUGACCAGUCAGCGGGUCUGUUGACCUGCUGAUGUCAUGCUGACACUCUGUUGACGUCAUAAUUCAUUUCUGUUAAUUUAAAUAAUUUCUGAAAAUGGUUUAAUCUUUAGAAAUUUAUAGAAAUUAACCCGUAAGUCGGAUGAAAAUGUUUUCUAUAUGAAAGUUGCUCAGAAAAAUCCAACGAAUCCGAAUACGCGGUCCGUUCAUCUGUCACAUGCCCCUAGCAUGCUGAACAUGGGACUUUCCCCCUCCGAUCAUUUGUCUAACACAGGUCCGGAACCGGGAAAACAUUCCCGGUUGACUUCCCCCCUCGCCGGUAUCGUGUAGCACCACGUUAGAACACGCCUAGCUCUGCUGGUUGUCCUGUUAUGCUAUGUUUGCUUUAUAUUUACUGUUUCUUCCCCCUCUUCUCUCCGGUAGACCCCGAGACCGAUGAUGCCCCUGUGAUCGACUACAUCACCGACGACCCCUCCUUGCCAGAGCAACCAGGCAAGCCCCCCAUUGAUCACCAGAUAUCGCCUAUUCUUCUCUAUACUGCUUGCAUUAGAGUAGUAUAGCAUGUUAUUGUUCGGUUACUCCUAUUCUGUUGCAUAGCCUGUCAUUGUUGCUACAGUCAUUGAUACCCUACCCGCAAUCCUAAAUGCUUAGUAUAGGAUGCUAGUUUAUCAUGAUUGGCCCUACAUUCUUGUCAGUCUGCCUUGCUACACUAUCGGGCCGUGAUCACUUGGGAGGUGAUCACGGGUAUAUACUAUACAUAUAUACAUACUAUACAAAUGGUGACUAAAGUCGGGUCAGCUCGUUGAGUACCCGCAAGUGAUUCCAAUGUGGGGGCUGGAAGGACAGGUGGCUCCAUCCCGGUAGAGGUGGGCCUGGGUUUCCGACGGCUCCCGACUGUUACUUUGAGGCGGAGCGACAGGGCAGGUUGAGACCGCCUAGGAGAGAGGAGUGCAAUGGGCGAUGGGCCCAGACCCCUGCGCGCAUAGGAUUUAGACCGGCGUGCUGACCUCUCUGUUGUGCCUAGGUGGGGCUGCGACGUGUUGAUCUUCCGAGGCCGGGCAUGACCCAGGAAAGUGUGUCCGGCCAAAUGGGAUCGAGCAUGUUGGGUUAUGUGGUGCACCCCUGCAGGGAAGUUAAUCUAUUCGAAUGGCCGUGAUCUUCGGUAACAGGACGACUUGGAGUUGUACCUUGACCUUAUGACAACUAGAACCGGAUACUUAAUAAAACACACCCUUCCAAGUGCCAGAUACAACCCGGUGAUCGCUCUCUAACAGGGCGACGAGGAGAGGAUCGCCGGGUAGGAUUAUGCUAUGCGAUGCUACUUGGAGGACUUCAAUCUACUCUCUUCUACAUGCUGCAAGACGGAGGCUGCCAGAAGCGUAGUCUUCGAUAGGACUAGCUAUCCCCCUCUUAUUCUGGCAUUCUGCAGUUCAGUCCACUGAUAUGGCCUCCUUACACAUAUACCCAUGCAUAUGUAGUGUAGUUCCUUGCUUGCGAGUACUUUGGACGAGUACUCACGGUUGCUUUCUCCCCCCCUUUUCUCCCUUUCCUUUCUUUCUGGUUGUCGCAACCAGAUGCUGGAGUCCAGGAGCCAGACGCCACCGUCGACGACGACUCCUACUACACCGGAGGUGCCUACUACUACGUGCAGCCCGCUGACGACGACCAGGAGUAGUUAGGAGGAUCCCAGGCAGGAGGCCUGCGCCUCUUUCGAUCUGUAUCCCAGUUUGUGCUAGCCUUCUUAAGGCAAACUUGUUUAACUUAUGUCUGUACUCAGAUAUUGUUGCUUCCGCUGACUCGUCUAUGAUCGAGCACUUGUAUUCGAGGCCUCGAGGCCCCUGGCUUGUAUUAUGAUGCUUGUAUGACUUAUUUAUGUUUUAGAGUUGUGUUGUGAUAUCUUCCUGUGAGUCCCUGAUCUUGAUCGUACACAUUUGUGUGCAUGAUUAGUGUACGAUUGAAUCGGGGGCGUCACACAAAUGAUAUAGGAUUGUGACCUUAGGUAGUUCCACAUAUAUAUACCAUCAACACGCAGUGCUCCGACUAAAGGUCAUACGGGCUAUAGAGGAAGCGGGACGAGCAAACCUUCAACAUGUACUCAUUAUGUUCAAAAGUAAACAAAACUGAUGUCUCAUUGUGGUUAUGAAGAACCUUCACAUUUUCUAUCGGAGCACCAACAAAGACACAAAUCAUCGGAACCGGUCUUGAGAACAUAGUCGCCGUCAACCACUACAACCAUAAACAUCACAAAUAAAUGAUGUAACCAAAUCCUACAAAUUCACGGCUUUUCUUCUCUGUGGAGCUUAUACUAAUAUUUCUACAUGCUAACAACACAACAUAACAUCAUAAUCAAAUGUGCAUUUGCUAAUCUAGCGAAUAUCCCCAUCUCAAACAGGAAACUGUAGCUAUUUUCACAAAGCACCUAAAAGCAUCACCUGGAUUCAAACAACUGCAACCACGACGUAUUUGUCCUAUGAUUAUAUGUCUAAGCAAGGACCAAACUUACUAAUUACUUCAAAAGUAUCUCUAGUUACUUACCAGAGAAGUGGUUCCGACAGCCAAAAGUGCCUGAGUUCUAAGGAGCCAGGUGAGGUGCUUUGUUUCUUCUUUGCCUCGCGUUGGGGCGAGGGAGGAGACGAAGAGGAGCCGCCGGAGUGCACCAAAGCCGCACUGGCGACGAAGGCAAUGCCCAGCCCGAAAACCUAGCCACGGUCGAGGGUCACAAGCGAGCGCGAGAGGCCCUCAUACUCUCUCCCCCUACACGGACUCGCCCAUUGCCUGCAAAUCGCCGCCGCCGCCGGGACGGACGCGAGAUAGGAAGAGGAGCGGCGCGAGUGUCGCGCUGGGGGCAGAGGAGAGAGGCGUAGGGGAGGAGGAGGCCGACCCCCUGGGCCAUGCCGCCUGCACCGCAUCCCAUACGUAGCCGCCUUUGCAUCGCCUCGCCAUUCCUCCUUCCCUGUCGUGGGAGCCGGGGCCAGGGCGGGGCGUUAGGGCUUGGCGGCGCCAGAUCGGAGGAGUGGAAGGAGGAGAGGGAGGCACAGGCGGGGAGGAGGUCGGGUGGCGGUGGGGAAGGAAGAGAGGGAGGCACUGGUGGGGAGGAGGCGGUGCGGGCGGGAGNNNNNNNNNNNNNNNNNNNNNNNNNNNNNNNNNNNNNNNNNNNNNNNNNNNNNNNNNNNNNNNNNNNNNNNNNNNNNNNNNNNNNNNNNNNNNNNNNNNNNNNNNNNNNNNNNNNNNNNNNNNNNNNNNNNNNNNNNNNNNNNNNNNNNNNNNNNNNNNNNNNNNNNNNNNNNNNNNNNNNNNNNNNNNNNNNNNNNNNNNNNNNNNNNNNNNNNNNNNNNNNNNNNNNNNNNNNNNNNNNNNNNNNNNNNNNNNNNNNNNNNNNNNNNNNNNNNNNNNNNNNNNNNNNNNNNNNNNNNNNNNNNNNNNNNNNNNNNNNNNNNNNNNNNNNNNNNNNNNNNNNNNNNNNNNNNNNNNNNNNNNNNNNNNNNNNNNNNNNNNNNNNNNNNNNNNNNNNNNNNNNNNAAAUGACCAGAAUACCCCGGUGGGGGCAUGGUAUUUACAUUUUUCUGCCAUUACUAUUCAUUCCAGCAGUGCCAGCUCGAGAUCCGACGGCCCAGGUUGAUCCAGAUGCUGAUCCGACGUCCAGAAACUCAUCAAGCAAACCGAUCCAACGGCCGAGAGUCACUGAUCGCUGAGGAUGCUUGUACAUCCAUCCUUCUCUUAUUUCUGGAUGAGGCGUUUGAUCAAAUGGCUACGAGUUGAAGCCAAUGAAAAAAAUGGAGUAACACAUCUUGUUGUGCAAGAAUAUAGAUUUGUUGGGUUCAGUGCAGUUGUUGAGGUUUUCAUGCUCAUAUUUAUCGAGAAAUUGUUUGCAACAAUACGUGUUAACAAUUUAACAUACAAUUUCAAUCUAGGGGUGUUACAAACAUGUUAGCGCACAACUCAUACCAAAAAUAUUCGACUACAAUAUCAGAAAAGAACUGAAUGACUAAUUUUGUGGGCGGAUCCUAGAAUCAUAUUCUGAACAAUCAAGAGCUGAAAAGAACACGUGCUUAAGUUAGGAUUAUGGGAUGGAUAGGGGGCGCUUGCCACCUCUCUCCCCUCCGCGUGAUUCACCGCGUUAUAUUUAUAUAACAAUUAAAUAUGCAUCACGAGUACCGUUGCAAAGACUAACACCGAUAGAAGGACUAAGGUAUGGAACGACUCUACUUUCGAGAAGGAUGCUCGAGCCGGUGCCGUGGAGCUGGAAGUAGCGCUUGCGAAGAUGGAUGGCCUGGCCAUGGGAGAGGGUAUCCAUUGCAAAGUAGGUUGUCCAGAAGACAGCGGAGUUGAACCUUGCGGGGAAUAACUUGACGACGCUAUUUCGUGCGGCUGCGAGUGCCAAUGACGAGCUUCCCUACACCUGCCAAUGGCAGUACUUCGGCACGCCAGUGAGGAAGAUGGCCAAGACGACAACCAUGGUGGCCGCCAAUGCCACGAAUGCUACAUUGAAGCCGACAUACCAAACCACUGUGGAGAAGAAAGAGGAAGUGGUGUUGAUGGGCAUGUAGAGACCGGUGAGGUACACCACAACGACCCUCCCUCUCUUGGAACACGGACGUCAAACUCAAGGCUAGCCCUAAUUAUGGGGUGGACAGGGGGCAGGGGGCGCUUGCCCCCGCCCCGUGUUCUUCAUCGUAAUGUAUUUAUCCAAUAGUUUAACAUUUAUCUUAUAAUUAUUGCUUCAACCAUAUAAUAGUUACCGAUCACGAUGGCGCCAACAACUGUAAUGGCAGUGGAGGGAAAUGGUGACAUGUUGGCUGAGCCUCCAGUCGGCCAGCACGCCAGAGAUGGCAGCGGACAGAUACAAUGCAACGAGGAAAUAGCUGCCAAUAUCGUCAGAUAUGUGUCUGGAGAUGCGGAGUUACGUGAGUUAGGUGAUGAGGUUGCUAGAUAUUCCCAGAACACACAACUCCUGAUCUACCUCGGUAGCUAUGAUUAGGGUGGCAGCCAACCAACCUCCCCUACCAUAAAAAAUAUAAAGUGUGGGUCAGGGGCGGACCCACAAAAAACUUGAGAGGGGCAUAUUCAUGAACAAAUAAGUCAAGCAUUGGGGCAUAAUCAUUUCGUUCUUUCAUAUCAUCAAGGGGUAGAGCCCCCUCCCCCCUCCACAGGUUCCAUUAUCCAAGGGCAGACCUAGGAAAAAAACUUGAGAGGGGCAAGAAUGUACGACCAUAUUCAUAAACCACUAAGCCAAGUGUUGAUAUAAACACUUCAUUCUAUUAGAUCACUCCCCCUCCACAGUUCCAUUAUCAAAUGAAACCAAGGUUCACAACCCAAUUCAAUUGCAAAGUACAAGAAAGUAAAAUGACAAAGCUUUGGCAAUACACAACACAACUCAUUGGCAACAUCAUAUUACAACUUGAAUGCAAAAGGCUACCAAUGCACCAGGAUACUGUUGGAGAUAUGCCCUAGAGGCAAUCAUGUAUGAUGAUAUUUCCUAUGUGUUUAUGAAUAAAUAUAGUCCUUGGAAAUUAUCAAUGAUGUGUAUCAGCAAGUACGUGUCUUGUUUAUGGGACUAUGCAUUGUAUGAUGACUGUCCUAAAAGACCCCUAGUCAAAUGGGUUUUGUGGAUGUGCAACUGAAUAGACUAGCAUAUGACAUGGUGGAUGGCUCGGUCCCACUAGCCAUAUAGCAUUGGAUGCUAGCAGGAUAAUAUGGACUCGGAAAGAUCUGGUCGGAUUCGACAUAACCGGAUUCAAGUCUAGAUAAGGUCCAAGUCGGACAUACCCAACUAUGAGACGCAACAAUAUGUCAUCUAUGGGUCUCUAGUACAAUGUACGUUCUAUAUGCUAAGACCCGAGCUUGUGCAUGUACUCGGGAUGGUGACAGACCUGUUUUGGGCUGACCAAAUGCUACUUCGUAACUGGGUAGUCAUAAAGGUAGGUUUCGGGAUUGUCCAGACCCAUGUUGCGAGACAUGGUCGAGCAAUGUCGGUGUCAAAACCGGCGGAUCUCGGGUAGGGGCCCCCGAAGACCGGUAGCAUAGGUGAGUUCCGGAGUCAGUUAUUGCCAGCCUUUACUGAAGCAUCACCCAUAUUGCCACUGCAUACGUCAGCCAUUACUUAUUUGAAUUGCGGUUCGAGGCAAACCUCUUAGGGCAUGGCCAAUGGGUGGCCUCAACCUGCUGCCCCGCAGGUCCACGUAGGAUCGGAGUUAGGUUCGGACUAAAAGGUAUCGCCUCGCACUAGCAGGUGUAGCCUGCAGAAGAGCCAGGCUCUUUGGUGUGAAAAGCGAGAGAAAGAAAGAAAAGGGCAGCUCCGCUGAUGCAUGCAAGGAGAGAGAUAGAGAGAGGAAGAAAAUUUCUAUGCAUGUGAAGGACGAUGGGUCCCACUACAGCAGUGUGGCUAUGGUUGGCCAAAAUUUUUUCUAAAUGAUGGUUUCCUCACUUUUUGAUUAGUUUAAGAGUUGAGGCAGUACCAGAGUGAUGCUCCCGUUGUACAUGUCCUUACUGGCAUUUCGUAUCAAAACAUAGACCAUGCCCCGCAUUUUGGGGAUAUCAUCAAUCAAUUUUUUUCUCCAAGCGGCCAUAACAGCACGAUAAGCCGAAAUGUGACGAUUUUUACGGUGCUAUAGAGGGACGCUUCGCCUUUUACUGGCUUAGAGCAUCUCCAACACGUGCGCUAAAAGACGUGCCCACGCGGUAAAAUUGCUUUUUAGCGCGCGCCAACCGGUUUCGCGCGCUCCAGCGAUGGAGGGAAACAAGAGCGCGCGGGAAACGAUUGCGCGCGCGCGGGAAAAGGCGGCAGCUCUCGCGCUAGAUUUGGUGCGCCGCUUCGCGCACGCCUAUAAAAUUGCAGCGCCCUCGCCGCUCUCUCUCGCUCUCUCCACUGAUUUCUCUCCUCGCCGCCGACACGCCACCACCGUGCCACCAUGCUGCCUCGCCGCCGAGGAGGUUCAUGAAGGAAAUAUGCCCUAAAGGCAAUGAUAAAGUUAUUAUUUAUUUCCUUAUAUCAUGAUAAAUGUUUAUUAUUCAUGCUAGAAAUGUAUUAACCGGAAACAUGAUACAUGUGUGAAUACAUAGACAAACUUAAUGUCACUAGUAAGCCUCUACUUGACUAGCUCAUUAAUCAAAGAUGGUUAUGUUUCCUAACCAUAGACAUGAGUUGUCAUUUGAUUAACAAGAUCACAUCAUUAGGAGACUGAUGUGAUUGAAAUGACCCAUUCCGUUAGCUUAGCACUUGAUCGUUUAGUAUGUUGCUAUUGCUUUCUUCAUGACUUAUACAUGUUCCUACAACUAUGAGAUUAUGCAACUCCCAUUUACCGGAGGAACACUUUGUGUUCUACCAAAUGUCACAACGUAACUGGGUGAUUAUAAAGGAGCUCUACAGGUGUCUCCAAAGGUACAUGUUGAGUUGGCGUAUUUCGAGAUUAGGUUUUGUCACUAUGAUUGUCGGAGAGGUAUCUCUGGGCCCUCUCGGUAAUGCACAUCACUAUAAGCCUUGCAAGCAUUGUAACUAAUGAGUUAGUUGCAGGAUGAUGUAUUACGGAACGAGUAAAGAGACUUGCCGGUAACGAGAUUGAACUAGGUAUUGAGAUACCGACGAUCGAAUCUCAGGCAAGUAACAUACCGAGGACAAAGGGAACAACGUAUGUUGUUAUGCGGUUUGACCGAUAAAGAUCUUCGUAGAAUACUUAGGAGCCAAUAUGAGCAUCCAGGUUCCGCUAUUGGUUAUUGACCGGAAACAUGUCUCGAUCAUGUCUACAUAGUUCUCGAACCCGUAAGGUCCGCACGCUUAAGGUUUCGUUGACAGUUUUAUUAUCAGUUUAUGAGUUUUGAUGUACCAAAGGUUGUUCGGAGUCCCGGAUGUGAUCACGGACAUGACGAGGAGUCUCGAAAUGGUCGAUACAAAAAGAUCGAUAUAUUGGACGACUAUAUUUGACACCGGAAAGGUUCCGAGUGAGAUUGGGAUAAUACCGGAGCUCCGGGAGGUUAUCGGAACCCCCCGGUAGGUAUAUGGGCCUUAUUGGGCCUUAGUGGAAAGGAGGAGAAAGGAGCAAGGGAGGGGGCACCCCCCAAGCCCAAUCCGAAUUGGGAGGGGGGCUGCCCCGCUUUCCUUCCUCCCUCCUUCCUCUUCCUUCCCUCUCCCUCUCCUAAUAGGAAAAGGGGGAGUCCUACUCCCGGUGGGAGUUGGACUCCCCCCUAGGGCGCGCCAUCCCCCUUGGCCGGCCCCCUCCUCCACUCCUUUAUAUACAGAGGAGGGGGGCACCCCAUAGACACAACAAUUGAUCUCUUGAUCUCUUAGCCGUGUGCAGUGCCCCCCUCCAGCAUAGUCCUCCUCGAUAAUAUUGUAGCGGUGCUUAGGCGAAGCCCUGCGGCGGUAGAACAUCAAGAUAGUCACCACACCGUCAUGCUGACGGAACUCUCCCUCGACACUCGGCUGGAUCAGAGUUCGAGGGACGUCAUCGAGCUGAACGUGUGCUAGAACUCGGAGGUGUCGUAGUUUCGGUGCUUGAUCGAUCGGGCCAUGAAGACGUACGACUACAUCAACCGCGUUGUUCUAACGCUUCCGCUUUCGGUCUACGAGGGUACGUGGACAACACUCUCCCCUGUUGUUGCUUUGCAUCACCAUGAUCUUGCGUGUGCGUAGGAAAUUUUUUGAAAUUACUACAUUCCCCGACAGUUCGGGCUACCGCGGCGUCCGCGUGCGCCCGUCCGGCACCUACUCCACCUCGAUUCAGUCGGGCGGCGGCGUGCGCCUCGGCCUCGGAACCUUCGACACCGCCCAGGAUGGCGCCCGUGCGUAUGACGCUGCGGCGUGGCGCCUUGAUAACCCACAAGUGUAGGGGAUCGCAACAACUUUCGAGGGUAAAGUAUUCAACCCAAAUAUAUUGAUUCGACACAAGGGGAGCCAAAGAAUAUUCUUGAGUAUUAGCAGUUGAUUUGUCAAUUCAACCACACCUGGAUAACUUAGUAUCUGCAACAAAGUAUUUAGUAGCAAAGUAGUAUGAUAAUAAAGGUAACUGUGGCAAAAGUAAAGAUAAUAGUUUUUGGGUUUUUGUAAUAGUUGUAACAGUAGCAACCGAAAAGUAAAUAAGCGAAGAACAAUAUGUGAAAAGCUCGUAGGCAAUGGAUCAGUGAUGGAUGUUGGGGAACGUUGCAGAAAAUUAAAUUUUUUCCUACGGUUUCACCAAGAUCCAUCUACGAGUUCAUCUAAGCAAUGAGUCAUGGGAGAGAGAUUGCAUCUACAUACCACUUGUAGAUCGCGUACGGAAGCGUUCGAAGGAACGGUGAUGAUGGAGUCGUACUCGCCGUGAUUCAGAUCACCGAUGACCAAGUGCUGAACGGACAGCACCUCCGCGUUCAACACACGUACGGUACAGACGACGUCUCCUCCUUCUUGAUCCAGCAAGGGGGAAGGAGAGGUUGAGGAAGAAGGCUCCAGUAGCAGCACGAUGGCGUGAUGAUGGUGGAGAGGCAGUACUCCGACAGGGCUUCGCCAAGCGCACAACGGAGGAGGAGAGGUGUUGGGGAGGGGAGGGGCUGCGCCUUGGAUCAGGUGUUCAGCCCUCCCCUCGCCCCUCUAUUUAUAGGGGAAGGGGGAAGGGGGCCGGCCCCCUCUAGAUGAGAUCUAGAGGGGGGGGGGGCGGCGGCCAAGGAGGGGGCUUGCCCCCCAAGGAAGGGGGGUGCGCCCCCCUUAGGGUUCCCCCCAACCCUAGGCGCAUGGGCCCAAGGGGGGGGGAGCCCAGCCCUCCAGGGGCUGGUGCCCUGCCCCAUGCGGCCCAUGUGGCCCACCAAGAGGGGUGGCCCCUCCCGGUGGACCCCCGGAACCCCUCCGGUGGCCCCGGUACAAUACCGAUAUGGCCCCGAAACUUUCCGGUGUCCGCAUGACAACUUCCCAUAUAUAAAUCUUUACCUACGGACCCUUCCGGAACUCCUCAUGACGUCCGGGAUCUCAUCCGGGACUCCGAACAACAUUCGGUAAUCACAUACAAGUCUUCCUAAUAACCCUAGCGUCACCGAACCUUAAGUGUGUAGACCCUACGGGUUCGGGAGACACGCAGACAUGACCGAGACGGCUCUCAGGUCAAUAACCAACAGCGGGAUCUGGAUACCCAUGUUGGCUCCCACAUGCUCCUUGAUGAUGUCAUCGGAUGAACCACGGUGUCGAGGAUUCAAGCAACCCCGUAUACUAUUCCCUUUGUCAAUCGGUACAUUACAAGCCCGAGACUCGAUCGUUGGUAUCCCAAUACCUCGUUCAGUCUCGUUAUCGGCAAGUCACUUUACUCGUACCGUAAUGCAUGAUCCCGUGACCAAACACUUGGUCACUUUGAGCUCAUUAUGAUGAUGCAUUACCGAGUGGGCCCAGAGAUACCUCUCCGUCAUACGGAGUGAAAAAUCCCAGUCUCGAUCCGUGUCAACCCAACAGACACUUUCGGAGAUACCUGUAGUGCACCUUUAUAGUCACCCAGUUACGUUGUGACAUUUGGUACACCCAAAGCACUCCUACGGUAUCCGGGAGUUACACGAUCUCAUGGUCUAAGGAAGAGAUACUUGACAUUGGAAAAGCUCUAGCAAAACGAACUACACGAUCUUGUGCUAUGCUUAGGAUUGGGUCUUGUCCAUCACAUCAUUCUCCUAAUGAUGUGAUCCCGUUGUCAAUGACAUCUAAUGUCCAUAGUCAAGAAACCAUGACUAUCUGUUGACCAACGAGCUAGUCAACUAGAGGCUUACUAGGGACGUAUUGUGGUCUAUGUAUUCACACGUGUAUUACGAUUUCCGGAUAAUACAAUUAUAGCAUGAAUAAAAGACAAUUAUCAUGAACAAGGAAAUAUAAUAAUAAUGCUGGGUAUAUUUCCAACAGUCUCCCACUUGCACUAGAGUCAAUAAUCUAGUUACAUUGUGAUGAAUCGAACACCCAUAGAGUUCUGGUGUUGAUCAUGUUUUGCUCGCGAGAGAGGUUUAGUCAACGGAUCUGCUACAUUCAGAUCCGUAUGUACUUUGCAAAUAUCUAUGUCUCCAUCUUGAACAUUUUCACGGAUGGAGUUGAAACGACGCUUGAUGUGCCUGGUCUUCUUGUGAAACCUGGGCUCCUUGGCAAGGGCAAUAGCUCUAGUGUUGUCACAGAAGAGUUUGAUCGGCCCCGACGCAUUGGGUAUGACUCCUAGGUCAGUGAUGAACUCCUUCACCCAAAUAGCUUCAUGCGCUGCCUCCGAUGCUGCCAUGUACUCCGCUUCACAUGUAGAUCCCACCACGACGCUCUGCUUGCAGCUGCACCAGCUUACUGCUCCACCAUUCAACAUAUACACGUAUCUGGUUUGUGACUUAGAGUCAUCCAGAUCUGUGUCGAAGCUAGCGUCGAUGUAACCCUUUACGGCGAGCUCUUCGUCACCUCCAUAAACGAGAAACAUGUCCUUUGUCCUUUUCAGGUACAUCAGGAUAUUCUUGACCACUGUCCAGUGUUCCUUGCCGGGAUUACUUUGGUACCUUCCUACCAAACUUACGGCAAGGUUUACAUCAGGUCUGGUACACAACAUGGCAUACAUACUAGAUCCUAUGGCUGAAGCAUAGGGGAUGACACUCAUCUCUUCUUUAUCUUUUGCCGUGGUCGGGCAUUGAGCCGAGCUCAAUCUCACACCUUGCAAUACAGGCAAGAACCCCCUCUUGGACUGAUCCAUUUUGAACUUCUUCAAAAUCUUAUCAAGGUAUGUGCUUUGUGAAAGACCUAUGAUGCGUCUCGAUCUAUCUCUAUAGAUCUUGAUGCCUAAUAUAUAAGCAGCUUCUCCAAGGUCCUUCAUUGAAAAACACUUAUUCAAGUAGGCCUUAAUGUUGUCCAAAAGUUCUAUAUCAUUUCCCAUCAAAAGUAUGUCAUCUACAUAUAAUAUGAGAAAUGCUACAGAGCUCCCACUCACUUUCUUGUAAACGCAGGCUUCUCCAUAAGUCUGCAUAAACCCAAACGCUUUGAUCAUCUCAUCAAAGCGAAUGUUCCAACUCCGAGAUGCUUGCACCAGCCCAUAAAUGGAUCGCUGGAGCUUGCAUACUUUGUUAGCAUUAUUAGGAUCGACAAAACCCUCCGGCUGCAUCAUAUACAGUUCUUCCUUAAGAUGCCCGUUAAGGAAUGCCGUUUUGACGUCCAUCUGCCAUAUCUCAUGAUCAUAGUAUGCGGCAAUUGCUAACAUGAUUCGGACGGACUUAAGCUUCGCUACGGGAGAGAAAGUCUCAUCAUAGUCAAUCCCUUGAACUUGCCGAUAACCCUUAGCGACAAGGCGAGCUUUAUAGAUGGUGACAUUUCCAUCCGCGUCCGUCUUCUUCUUAAAGAUCCAUUUGUUUUCUAUCGCUCGCCGAUCAUCGGGCAAGUCAGUCAAAGUCCAUACUUUGUUUUCAUACAUGGAUUCUAUCUCGGAUUUCAUGGCUUCUAGCCAUUUGUUGGAAUCUGGGCCCGCCAUUGCUUCUUCAUAGUUCGAAGGUUCACCGUUGUCCAACAACAUGAUUUCCAGGACAGGGUUGCCGUACCACUCUGGUGCGGAACGUGUCCUUGUGGACCUACGAAGUUCAGUAGCAACUUGAUCCGAAGUACCUUUAUCAUCAUCAUUAUUUUCCUCUUCAGUUGGUGUAAGCAUCACAGGAACAUUUUCCUGAGCUGCACUACUAUCCCGUUCAAGAGGUAGUACUUCAUCGAGUUCUACUUUCCUCCCACUUACUUCUUUCGAGAGAAACUCUUUUUCCAGAAAGGAUCCAUUCUUGGCAACAAAGAUAUUGCCUUCGGAUCUUAAGUAGAAGGUAUACCCAAUGGUUUCUUUAGGGUAUCCUAUGAAGACGCAUUUUUCCGACUUGGGUUCGAGCUUUUCAAGUUGAAGUUUCUUGACAUAAUCAUCGCAUCCCCAAACUUUUAGAAACGACAGCUUAGGUUUCUUCCCAAACCAUAAUUCAUACGGUGUCGUCUCAACGGAUUUAGAUGGUGCCCUAUUUAAAGUGAAUGUAGCUGUCUCUAGAGCGUAUCCCCAAAAUGAUAGCGAUAAAUCGGUAAGAGACAUCAUAGAUCGCACCAUAUCCAAUAGAGUGCGAUUACGACGUUCGGACACACCGUUAUGCUGAGGUGUUCCAGGCGGUGUGAGUUGUGAAAAGAUUCCACAUUUUCUUAAGUGUGUACCAAAUUCGUGACUUAAAUAUUCUCCUCCACGAUCCGAUCGUAAGAAUUUUAUCUUUCGGUCACAUUGAUUCUCUACUUCAUUCUGAAAUUCCUUGAACUUUUCAAAGGUCUCAGACUUGUGUUUCAUCAAGUAGACAUACCCAUAUCUACUCAAGUCAUCAGUGAGAGUGAGAACAUAAUGAUAUCCUCCGCGAGCCUCAACGCUCAUUGGACCGCACACAUCGGUAUGUAUGAUUUCCAACAAGUUGGUUGCUCGCUCCAUUGUUCCGGAGAACGGGGUCUUGGUCAUUUUGCCCAUGAGGCAUGGUUCGCAUGUGUCAAAUGAUUCAUAAUCGAGAGACUCUAAAAGUCCAUCAGCAUGGAGCUUCUUCAUGCGCUUGACACCAAUGUGACCAAGGCGGCAGUGCCACAAGUAAGUGGGACUAUCGUUAUCAACUUUACAUCUUUUGGUAUUCACGCUAUGAAUAUGUGUAACAUUACGUUCUAGAUUCAUUAAGAAUAAACCAUUGACCAUCGGGGCAUGACCAUAAAACAUAUCUCUCAUAUAAAUAGAACAACCAUUAUUCUCGGAUUUAAAUGAGUAGCCAUCUCGUAUUAAACGAGAUCCAGAUACAAUGUUCAUGCUCAAACUUGGCACUAAAUAACAAUUAUUGAGGUUUAAAACUAAUCCCGUAGGUAAAUGUAGAGGUAGCGUGCUGACGGCGAUCACAUCGACCUUAGAACCAUUCCCGACGCGCAUCGUCACCUCGUCCUUCGCCAGUCUCCGCUUAUUCCGCAGCUCCUGCUGUGAGUUACAAAUGUGAGCAACGGCACCGGUAUCAAAUACCCAGGAGUUACUACGAGUACUGGUAAGGUACACAUCAAUUACAUGUAUAUCAAAUAUACCUUUAGUGUUGCCGGCCUUCUUGUCUGCUAAGUAUUUAGGGCAAUUCCGCUUCCAGUGACCCUUCCCCUUGCAAUAAAAGCACUCAGUUUCAGGCUUGGGUCCAUUCUUUGACUUCUUCCCGGCAACUGGCUUACCGGGCGCGGCAACAUCUUUGCCGUCCUUCUUGAAGUUCUUCUUACCCUUGCCCUUCUUGAACUUAGUGGUCUUAUUGACCAUCAACACUUGAUGUUCUUUCUUGAUUUCAACCUCUGCUGACUUCAGCAUUGAAAAUACUUCAGGAAUGUUCUUCACCAUCCCCUGCAUAUUGUAGUUCAUCACAAAGCUCUUGUAGCUUGGUGGGAGCGACUGAAGGAUUCUGUCAAUGACCGCCUCAUCCGGGAGGUUAAUGUCCAGCUGGGACAGGCGGUUGUGCAACCCAGACAUUUUGAGUAUAUGCUCACUGACAGAACUAUUUUCCUCCAUCUUACAACUAUAGAACUUGUCGGAGACUUCAUAUCUCUCGACCCGGGCAUGAGCUUGGAAAACUAGUUUCAGCUCCUCGAACAUCUCAUAUGCUCCGUGUUGCUCAAAACGCUUUUGGAGCCCCGGUUCUAAGCUGUAAAGCAUGUCGCAGUGAACGAGGGAGUAAUCAUCAGCACGAGACUGCCAAGCAUUCAUAAUGUCUUGGUUCUCUGGGAUGGGAGCGUCACCUAGCGGUCCUUCUAGGACAUAUUGUUUCCUGGCAUCUAUGAGAAUGAUCCUCAGGUUCCGGACCCAGUCCGUAUAGUUGCUGCCAUCAUCUUUCAGCUUGGUUUUCUCUAGGAACGUGUUGAAGUUCAUGUUGACAUGAGCGUUGGCCAUUUGAUCUACAAGACAUAUUUGCAAAGGUUUUAGACUAAGUUUAUGAUAAUUAAGUUCAUCUAAUCAAAUUAUUGUAAUGAACUCCCACUCAGAUUAGACAUCCCUCUAGUCAUCUAAGUGUUACACGAUCCGAGUCGACUAGGCCGUGUCCGAUCAUCACGUGAGACGGACUAGUCAUCGUCGGUGAACAUCUCCAUGUCGAUCGUAUCUUCCAUACGACUCGUGUUCGACCUUUCGGUCUCUGUGUUCCGAGGCCAUGUCUGUACAUGCUAGGCUCGUCAAGUUAACCCUAAGUGUUUUGCAUGUGUAAAACUGUCUUACACCCUUUGUAUGUGAACGUAAGGAUCUAUCACACCCGAUCAUCACGUGGUGCUUCGAAACGAUGAACUUUAGCAACGACGCACAGUUAGGGGGAACACUUUCUUGAAAUUAUUAUAAGGGAUCAUCUUAUUUACUACCGUCGUUCUAAGUAAACAAGAUGCAUAAACAUAAUAAACAUCACAUGCAAUUAUAUAAUAGUGACAUGAUAUGGCCAAUAUCAUAUAGCUCCUUUGAUCUCCAUCUUUGGGGCUCCAUGAUCAUCUUCGUCACCGGCAUGACACCAUGAUCUCCAUCAUCAUGAUCUCCAUCAUCGUGUCUUCAUGAAGUUGUCACGCCAACGACUACUUCUACUUCUAUGGCUAACGCGUUUAGCAAUAAAGUAAAGUAAUUUACAUGGCGUUCUUCAAUGACACGCAGGUCAUACAAAAAAUAAAGACAACUCCUAUGGCUCCUGCCGGUUGUCAUACUCAUCGACAUGCAAGUCAUGAUUCCUAUUACAAGAACAUGAUCUCAUACAUCAUAAUAUAUCAUUCAUCAUUCAUCACAACUUCUGGCCAUAUCACAUCACAUGACAAUUGCUGCAAAAACAAGUUAGACGUCCUCUAAUUGUUGUUGCAUCUUUUACGUGGCUGCAAUUGGGUUCUAGCAAGAACGUUUUCUUACCUAUGAAUAACCACAACGUGAUUUUUUGUCAACUUCUAUUUACCCUUCAUAAGGACCCUUUUCAUCGAAUCCGCUCCAACUAAAGUGGGAGAGACAGACACCCGCCAGCCACCUUAUGCAACUAGUGCAUGUCAGUCGGUGGAAUCGGUCUCACGUAAGCGUACGUGUAAGGUUGGUCCGGGCCGCUUCAUCCCACAAUACCGCUGAAGCAAGAUAAGACUAGUAGUGGCAAGCAAGUUGACAAGAUCUACGCCCACAACAAAAUUGUGUUCUACUCAUGCAAUAGAGAACUACGCAUAGACCUAGCUCAUGAUGCCACUGUUGGGGAAUGUUGCAGAAAAUUAAAAUUUUUCCUACGGUUUCACCAAGAUCCAUCUACGAGUUCAUCUAAGAAACGAGUCAUGGGAGAGAGAUUGCAUCUACAUACCACUUGUAGAUCGCGUACGGAAGCGUUCGAGGGAACGGUGAUGAUGGAGUCGUACUCGCCAUGAUUCAGAUCACCGAUGACCAAGUGCUGAAUGGACAGCACCUCCGCAUUCAACACACGUAUGGUACGGACAACGUCUCCUCCUUCUUGAUCCAGCAAGGGGGAAGGAGAGGUUGAGGAAGAAGGCUCCAACAGCAGCACGACGGCGUGAUGAUGGUGGGGAGGCAGUACUCAGACAGGGCUUCGCCAAGCGCACAACGGAGGAGGAGAGGUGUUGGGGAGGGGAGGGGCUGCGCCUUGGAUCAGGUGUUCAGCCCUCCCCUCGCCCCUCUAUUUAUAGGGGAAGGGGNNNNNNNNNNNNNNNNNNNNNNNNNNNNNNNNNNNNNNNNNNNNNNNNNNNNNNNNNNNNNNNNNNNNNNNNNNNNNNNNNNNNNNNNNNNNNNNNNNNNNNNNNNNNNNNNNNNNNNNNNNNNNNNNNNNNNNNNNNNNNNNNNNNNNNNNNNNNNNNNNNNNNNNNNNNNNNNNNNNNNNNNNNNNNNNNNNNNNNNNNNNNNNNNNNNNNNNNNNNNNNNNNNNNNNNNNNNNNNNNNNNNNNNNNNNNNNNNGGGGUGCGCCCCCCUUAGGGUUCCCCCCCAACCCUAGGCGCAUGGGCCCAAGGGGGGGGGGGCGCCCAGCCCUCCAGGGGCUGGUGCCCUGCCCCACGCAGCCCAUGUGGCCCAUCAAGAGGGGUGGCCCCUCCCAGUGGACCCCCGGAACCCCUCCGGUGGCCCCGGUACAAUACCGAUAUGUCCCCGAAACUUUUCGGUGUCCGCAUGACAACUUACCAUAUAUAAAUCUUUACCUCCGGACCCUUCCGGAACUCCUCGUGACGUCGGGAUCUCAUCCGGGACUCCGAACAACAUUCGGUAAUCACAUACAAGUCUUCCUAAUAACCCUAGCGUCACCGAACCUUAAGUGUGUAGACCCUACGGGUUCGGGAGACACGCAGACAUGACCGAGACGGCUCUCAGGUCAAUAACCAACAGCGGGAUCUGGAUACCCAUGUUGGCUCCCACAUGCUCCUCGAUGAUGUCAUCGGAUGAACCACGGUGUCGAGGAUUCAAGCAACCCCGUAUACUAUUCCCUUUGUCAAUCGGUACAUUACAAGCCCGAGACUCGAUCGUUGGUAUCCCAAUACCUCGUUCAGUCUCGUUAUCGGCAAGUCACUUUACUCGUACCGUAAUGCAUGAUCCCGUGACCAAACACUUGGUCACUUUGAGCUCAUUAUGAUGAUGCAUUACCGAGUGGGCCCAGAGAUACCUCUCUGUCAUACGGAGUGACAAAUCCCAGUCUCGAUCCGUGUCAACCCAACAGACACUUUCGGAGAUACCUGUAGUGCACCUUUAUAGUCACCCAGUUACGUUGUGACGUUUGGUACACCCAAAGCACUCCUACGGUAUCUGGGAGUUACACGAUCUCAUGGUCUAAGGAAUAGAUACUUGACAUUGGAAAAGCUCUAGCAAAACGAACUACACGAUCUUGUGCUAUGCUUAGGAUUGGGUCUUGUCCAUCACAUCAUUCUCCUAAUGAUGUGAUCCCGUUGUCAAUGACAUCUAAUGUCCAUAGUCAGGAAACCAUGACUAUCUGUUGACCAACGAGCUAGUCAACUAGAGGCUUCCUAGGGACGUAUUGUGGUCUAUGUAUUCACACGUGUAUUACGAUUUCCAGAUAAUACAAUUAUAGCAUGAAUAAAAGACAAUUAUCAUGAACAAGGAAAUAUAAUAAUAAUGCUUUUAUUAUUGCCUCUAGGGCAUAUUUCCAACAAUGGAUAAUUAUGCCGGAUGCGAUUCCUCUUGUAAUAGCUAUAACAUAGGGUGACAUAGAACUAGCUCCAAUUCAUCAAUGUAAUGUAGGCAUGUAUUCCGUAAAUAGUCAUACGUGCUUAUGGAAAAGAACUUGCAUGACAUCUGUAUUCCCGUGGCAGCGGGGUCGUAGUGGAAACUAAGGGAUAUUAAGGCCUCCUUUUAAUAGAGAACCGGAACAAAGCAUUAGCACAUAGUGAAUACAUGAACUCCUCAAACUACGGUCAUCUCCGAGAAGUAUCCCGAUUAUUGUCACUUCGGGGUUGUCGGAUCAUAACACAUAAUAGGUGACUAUAGAAUUGCAAGAUAGGAUCAAGAACACACAUAUAUUCAUGAAAACAUAAUAGGUUCAGAUCUGAAAUCAUGGCACUCUGGCCCUAGUGACAAGCAUUAAGCAUAGCAAAGUCAUAGCAACAUCAAUCUCAGAACAUAGUGGAUACUAGGGAUCAAACCCUAACAAAAUUAACUUGAUUACAUGGUAAAUCUCAUCCAACCCAUCACCGUCCAGCAAGCAUACGAUGGAAUUACUCACGCACGGCGGUGAGCAUCAUGAAAUUGGUGACGGAGGAUGGUUGAUGAUGACAACGGCGACGAAUCCCCCUCUCCGGAGCCCCGAACGGACUCCAGAUCAGCCCUCUCGAGAGAGAUUAGGGCUUGUCGGCGGCUCCGUGUCGUAAAACGCGAUGAAACUUUCUCCUUGAUUUUUUUCUCCCCGAACGUGAAUAUAUGGAGUUGGAGUUGAGGUCGGUGGAGGUCCAGGGGGCCCACGAGAUAGGGGGGCGCGCCCUACAGGGGGGGGGCGCCCCCCUGUCUCAUGGAUAGGGUGUGGGCCCCCUGGUGUAUUUUUUUGCCCAGAAAUUCUUAUUAAUUCCAAAAAGUGCCUCCGUGGAUUUUUAGGACAUUCCGAGAACUUUUCUUUUCUACACAUAAAACAACAUCAUGGCAGUUCUGCUGAAAAUAACGUCAGUCCGGGUUAGUUUCAUUCAAAUCAUGCAAGUUAGAGUCCAAAACAAGGGCAAAAGUGUUUGGAAAAGUAGAUAUGUUGGAGACGUAUCAACUCCCCCAAACUUAAACCUUUGCUUGUCCUCAAGCAAUUCAGUUGAUAAACUAAAAGUGAUAAAGAAAAACGUUUACAAACUCUGUUUGCUCUUGUUGUUGUAAACAUGAAAAGCCAGCAUUCAAGUUUCAGCAAAUAUUAUGAACUAACCAUACUCACAAUAACACUUGGGUCUCACAAUUACUCAUAUCAAUAGCAUAAUCAGCUAGCGAGCCGUAAUAAUGAAAAUCGGAUGACAACACUUUCUCAAAACAAUCAUAACAUGAUAUAACAAAAUGGUAUCUUGCUAGCCCUUUCUGAGACCGCGAAACAUAAAUGCAGAGCACCUUUAAAGAUCAAGGACUAACUAAACAUUGUAAUUCAUGGUAAAAGAGAUCCAGUCAAGUCAUACCCAAUAUAAACCAAUAGUAAUGAAUGCAAAUGACAGUGUGCUCUCCAACGGGUGCUUUUUAAUAAGAACGGCGAUGACUCAACAUAAAAGUAAAUAGAUAGGCCCUUCGCAGAGGGAAGCAGGUAUUUGUAGAGGUGCCAGAGCUCGAUUUUAAAAUAGAGAUUGAAUAACAUUUUGAGCGGCAUACUUUCGCUGUCAAUGCAACAACUAUGAGAUGGUUGUAUCUUCCAUACUACAUGCAUUAUAGGCAGUUCCCAAACAGAAUGGUAAAGGUUUAUACUCCCCCAACCACCAACAAGCAUCAAUCCAUGGCUUGCUCGAAACAACGAGUGCCUCCAACUAACAACAGCCCUAGGGGAGUUUUGUUUAAUUAUUUUGAUUUGCUUUGAUCUUUUUGGAUCAUGGGACUGGGCAUCCCGAUUACCGGCCCUUUCUCGUAAAUGAGGAGCGGAGUCCACUCCUCUUGAGAAUAACCCACGUACCAUGAAAGAUAUAGGCAGCCCUAGUUGAAACAUGAGCUGCUCGAGCAUACAAAACCGAAUUUCAUUUGAAGGUUUGGAGUUUGGCACAUACAGAUUUACUUGGAACGGCAUGUAAAUACCGCAUAUAGGAAGGUAUAGUGGACUCAUAUGGGACAACUUUGGGGUUUAAGGAGUUUGGAUGCACAAGCAGUAUUCCCGCUUAGUACAGGUGGCUAGCAAAAGACUGGGAAGCAACCAACUGAGAGAGCGACAACAGUCAUAAACAUGCAUUAAAAUUAAUUCACACCGAAUACAAGCAUGAGUAGGAUAUAGUCCACCAUGAACAUAAAUAUCAUGAAGGCUAUGUUUAUUUGAUUCAACUACAUGCGUGAACAUGUGCCAAGUCGAGUCACUUAAUUCAUUUAAAGGAGGAUACCAUCCCAUCAUACCACAUCAUAAUCAUUCUAAUAGCAUCUUGGCACGCAAGGUAAACCAUUAUAACUCAUAGUUAAUCAAGCAUGGCACAAGCAACUAUAAUCUCUAAAUGUCAUUGCAAAUAUGUUUACUUCAUAAUAAGCUGACUCAGAAACGAUGAACUCAUCAUAUUUACAAAAACAAGAGAGGUCGAGUUCAUACCAGCUUUUCUCAUCCCAAUAAGUUCAUCAUAUAUCGUCAUUAUUGCCUUUCACUUGCACGACCGAAUGAUGUGUAUAAUAAUAAGAGUGCACGUGCAUUGGCCUAAGCUGGAAUCUGCAAGCAUUCAACUCAAAAGAGAAGACAAGUAAUAUGGGCUCUAAGUUAAAUAAACAAUCAUGCAUAUGAGAGCCACUAAACAUUUUCAAUAUGGUCUUCUCAACCCCCAAAGAAAAGAAAAGAAAAUAAAACUAUUUACACGGGAAAGCUCCCAACAAGUAAGAAGAAGAACUAGAAAUCUUUUUGGGUUUUCACUUUAAUUUCUACUACAAGCAUGGAAAUUAAACUAACUAUUUUUUUUGGUUUUCUUAAGGUUUAUCAGACACACAAGAAGAAAACUAGAAAAAGAAAUUUAAACUAGCUUGGAUAAUACAAUGAAAGAGUAUGAGCACUGACGACUAGUGUGUGAACAUGAAUGUAAAGUCGGUGAGAAAUACAUACUCCCCCAAGCUUAGGCUUUUGGCCUAAGUUGGUCUAGUACCAAGGACCGCCGCUACUCUCCCCGGUGUAAUGGGAGGUGUAAUCAGGGUACCACUGGCUGGUCAUCUCCGGAUCCCACUGGACAGAUGAUGCACGAUAAGGGUCCAGUUCAGGUUCCGGCUCAGGUUCAGGUUCUGGAGUAAAAGCUUGGGCUCAAUGAUUGUUCACCUCUUCCGGUGUAACAAGAAAAUUUUCUGCAAAGCAAAUCAAACAACAGAGGCGUAGGCAAAAUAAUAAUCUCAAUGUGUUUCUUAUUAAAUCUAAGUUUAUACAAGAGCAUCCUCUCUUCGUUGUCAACAAUAAACUUGUGUGCUACCAUGUUCUUGUAAUCUAAAAUGUGAGGAGGCAAUGUUAUCUCCUCUUUCUCAAGAUGCCUAAUGGGUAUCUGAAAAUUCCUAGCAAGACGUGCAGCAUAGAUACCUCCAAAUAUGGGGCCUUUUGUACGAUUCGGGGCUAGCCGUUUAGCAACGACGGCACCCAUACUAAAAGUAUUGUCUCCAAGCAAGGCAUGUUGAAGAAUGAUAAUAUCAGGAACACUUAAGUUUCCACUAUUUCCUCGACCAAUCAAGCAUCUACUAGCAAAUAUGGCAAAGUAGCAUAAAACAGGAAAGUGUAUGCUAGAGACUUUUGCCUCGGAACCCUUCUUUGGCUCCUCUAUAGCGAUAGUAUUAACAAAGCCAUCCACAUCUUUACGAUGGGGUUCCUCUAAUUCUCCCUCAUAAGAUAUCCUAUACACCACGCAAAAAAUACGUAAAGAAAUUUCUCUGAAUUCAUCAUAUAAAUGAAAUGAUACUCCAGGUGGUGACUUCUUAGGAUAAUAAUAAAAGUUUUGCAAGAAAGUAUUAGUGAGUAAGAGAUACUGAUCGAUCCGGUCGUUGAUGAAACCGGUGAGGCCUACAGUCUCGAUCGAAGAAUAAAAAUCUUCAUGAAUUCCGGCUUCUUUCAAGAAAUCAUUGCAUGGCCAUUCACACGACCGCACUUCCGCUAAGCAAGGAAGAUUAUACUUGGCUUUUUCCUUCUCUUUGGCUUGUUUUUCCUGAGAGCCUUGGCUAGAAGAUCCCCUCAAAAACUUCCUUAACAUUUUCUGAAAAUUUCUGAAAUCUUAGUAACUUCAAAAUAAAAGUGAAUAAAACUAAACAAGAUUGGUAGCAACUACUCCUACAAGUGCCUAGAGCCUAUAUCAUGCAUUAGAAUUGCUUGGGACCUCAUAAAUUCAACAUGCAAGCUCAAGAACAUAGUCACCUAUGCAGCAAAAAUUUGCAAUGAAUAAAGCACUAGAACAAAAACUAAUUGGACCAAUGGAGAAGUCACAUACCAAGCAACAAUCUCCCAAAGCAGUUUUAUGAAUGGAGCUUUGAGCAAGGAGAUCGAAAAUCAUAGCAAAACGAGCUAGAACUCGUGCUUGAGCUGGAUGGGGAUUUUUUGGGUAGAAGAUGAAGUGUGUGGGUGCUGGCAUCAGUGGAGGGGGCCACCAGGGGCCCACGAGACACGGGGUGCGCCCUAUAGGGGGGGCGCCCUCCACUCUCGUGGCCUUGUGCUUGCCCCUCCUGCAAUGUUUUCAGUGCCUAAAAUCCUCAAAUAUUCCAUAAAAAAUCAUACUAAAUUUGCAGGGCAUUUGGAGCACUUUUAUUUUCGGGAUAUUUUUUAAUGCACGGAUAAUUCAGAAAGCAGACAGUUAAUACUAUUUUUUGCUUCAUUUAUUCUAAAUAACAGAAAGUAAAAGGUGGGUACAGAAGGUUGUGCCUUCUAGUUUUAUCCAUCUCAUGAUCAUCAAAAUGAAUCCACUAAGAAGGUUGAUCAAGUCUUGUUAACAAACUCAUUCCGAAUAACACGGAACCGGAGAAAUUUCGAAUAACACUAAGUUACCUCAACAGGGAUAUGAAAAUCCCCAACAAUAAGAACAUCAUACUUUUUCUUGACAGUAGGGAGAGGAAAUUCAAAACCUCCAAUAAUAAUAGUUGGAACUUUUCCAAUUGAAUUGAUGCUAUGAACUUGAGAUUGUUUCCUCGGAAAGUGUACCGUAUGCUCAUUACCAUUAACAUGAAAAGUGACAUUGCCUUUGUUGCAAUCAAUAACAGCCCCUUCAGUAUUCAAAAAGGGUCUACCAAGGAUAAUAGACAUACUAUCGUCCUCGGGAAUAUCAAGAAUAACAAAGUCCGUUAAGAUAGUGACAUUUUCAACCACAACAAGCACAUCCUCACAAAUACCGACAUGUAUAGCAGUUGAUUUAUCAACGAUUUGCAAAGAUAUUUUAGUAGGUGUCAACUUAUUCAAUUCAAGUCUACGAUAUAAAGAGAGAGGCAUAACACUAACACCGGCUCCAAGAUCACAUAAAACAGUUCUAACAUAAUUUCUUUUAAUGGAGCAUGGUAUAGUUGGUACACCCGGAUCUUCAAGUUUCUUAGGUAUUCCACCCUUAAAAGUGUAAUUAGCAAGCAUGGUGGAAAUUUCAGCUUCCGGUAUCUUUCUUUUAUUUGUGAUGAUAUCCUUCAUAUACUUAGCAUAAGGAUUUACUUUGCCCAUAUCAGUUAAGCGCAUACAUAAGAAAAUAGGUCUAAUCAUUUCAAAAAAGCGCUCAAAAUCCUCAUCAUCCUUUGACUUGGAUGGUUUAGGAGGAAAGGGCAUGGGUUUCUAAACCCAUGGCUCUCUUUCUCUACCGUGCUUCCUAGCAACAAAAUCUCUCUUACCAUAACGUUGAUUCUUUGAUUGUGGGUUAUCAAGAUCAACAACAGGUGUGGAGGUUAUAAUUACUGAGUAUAAACCGGCCAGGAGGGUCCGGUUCACCCUUGAUUAUGUUAAAGCCCAUGAAGAUCCAGAAGAUGGCGCUUUACUAAAGAAGCAUAGAAACCCGAAGCCCAAAUGCGGAUUAGGGCCCAUGAUGGUAAACCGCCAUGAUUAUGUAAACUUGUAUUGUAAGUUAGGAAAGGAGAGACCGAGCCAGACACUUUGUAUGAGUCGGCCUCGGGACUCUGUAAACCGGCCGGGCGUCAACCUGUGUAUAUAAAAGGGCGACCCAGCGGCGGUUUAGGGACAACAGACAACAACUCGAGACUCAGGCAAGCGUAUUUUGCUCCCUGAUCAUCGAAACCCAAUCAAUCCCAUCACAACUAGACAUAGGCUUUUACCUUCAUCGAAGGGGCCGAACUAGUAUAACUCCCAUGUCCCUUGUCCGGUUUCAAGCUAACCCAUUGCGAUGGCUCCACGACUAAGUCCUUUCACAAGGACAUCUGACGUGAUAAUUCCACGACAGUUGGCGCCCACUGUGAGGCUAUCGCACGAUGGUGUCGAGUUCUUGAAGGGAUGCUCUGAAGGACUUAAGGGGUACGUGAUCGGCCGGAUGACCAAAAGUCGUCGCGGCAAGCUCUACAUCGACGAUGAAGGAUGGGGCCCUGAGGCUGGCUCAAUCGAGUACGGGUACCGGGUCCCCUUCGGCGGAAUUCAUGUCUUCAUUGGCAAAAUCAGCGAACCGGGCCCUAAGCCGGACAUCUACACCGGCCUCGUCGAGACGGCUCAGCGUGCGAGUCCAGCCCGGGUUACGCCCGCCGUGAAGCGUGCGUUCGUAGGAUGCAUCCAUGGGAUCGGAUCUGAACCGGUGUCUGAGGGCGACACGGCGGUAUAUUCCGACGGCGAGUCAUCCACUGGCGAAACCGAGUCCUUGUACCAGAUUCAUGACGGUAUGCUCGAGGGAUAUUCCGAUGGCAACAGUAUUCCGGACCUCCCUGAAGCGCCAAGACGGGUUGCUAUUUACAUGGCUGACACGCAACCUGUGUUACAGUCCUCAUCAACCGCAGCAGCGACCACCGGAUCAGCGGCCGCGGCAGGUACCUCGGUGCACCGGCCGGCGCAGGUUCUCUCCGGUUUAAUGGAUGCUUGGGCGACCUUGUUAACCACGGUAGUCACCCCGGAGACGCAGGAUCGACACAAUGCGGAAGCUGCGAGGCUGAAGGAGCAGAUUACGCAGGCUAAGGCAGACCUGGUGGCUGAGGAUAAUAGGAUGGCUGAGGAACAUGCCGCUUUGAAUGCUCAAGCACAGCAGAUACAAGCACAGAAUUACCGACUCAUGCUGGACCGGACCGCGUCAGAGGAGGUGUUACGAAGGAAAUAUCGGUCGCGCCUACCGCCGGUUUACGAAGGGUUAAAUCUCUUUCAGACCCCAGGCGCUGGGCCGAGCAAUCCGGAAGCUGCAGACCGGGCCAAAGCGCUGAGGAUUGCCCCAGAUCAGCCACGGGCAACGGAGCUACCCUGACGGACAGUUAAUCCGCCACAGUAUGUGCCUACACCACCGGGUCACUUUUCGAGCCCCCUGGAUAACAUGAUCGCUGCGGCUUCACGCUUCGCAGCCAUUCCAAUGGAAGGAGAUUCAAUAGAGGCAGUUGAGACACGGCGGGCGAGAGAUCUUCUUCAAACCGCCGUAGUGCAGCAACAUGCUUAUUCAUAUAGCCGAGACAGGAUCCAUUCAACCCCCCGUCCAGGCCCAAGUUAUAGCAGGCGGAUGGACGAACCAGAGGUGUCUAGUAGCGCGCGGCGUCGCAAUGCUCAGGAGGUGGUGGACCAUGGCAGGGCUCGAAGGGAUGGCGCUUUGGAUCAUUAUCAACCCGCCCCGGUUCAGCCAAUAGUGUCGGUUGACAGAGGCACCGGGCUUGCUUUCAAUUCCUGGGGUGUACCGUGCCUUAUUCCGGCUCUCCGUAAUGUGCGUCUGCCCAAGGAUUUCAAGGGGCCGUGCAAGGUGCCUAACUAUACGAUGGAUCAGCCACCUGAGGCGUGGGUCGAGACUUAUGAGAUGGCAAUGGAGAUGCUGGAUGUGGAUGAAGCAGCUUGUGCAAAGUACUUCAUGAUGAUGUUGGAAGGACCGGCCCGCACUUGGUUGAAAAAUCUACCAACUAAUUCCAUCGAGUCAUGGGAUGAGUUGAAGGCCCGGUUUAUAGCCAAUUUUAAGGAUACAUGCAAACAGCCGAUGUCCAUUAUAGAUCUGGAUGCUUGCGUUCAGGGUGAGAACAAAUCCACAACUCAUUGGGUGCGUCGGGUCUCAGAAGUUUUGCACUCAUCCGACCGGAUUAACGCUGGCCAAGCGAUUAUCACGCUGGAAUGUAAUUGCCAGUUUAAGUCACUGAAGGAGAAGUUGGGACGGCUCAAGCGCCACUGCAACGACCUGGGAACCCUCAUGGCAGCCUUGGUAAAAUACGUCGAUUCUGAUAAUACCAAGGAUCCCGAUUCUGAUAAUGAGAAACCGGAGAAGGGAAAGAGGAAUGGUGGUGCGAAGGGACAACAGCACAACCAGGGAGGCCAUGGGAAUAAUGGUAAGCGUAAAGCAGAUUCAGAUUUUGUGGCUAAUGCUAAUGUGCAGCGUCGUAGGGGUAAACCGCCCCAGCAUGGUGGGGCGAUGAAUCUGGAGCGCUUGUUGAAUCAGCCCUGUCCAAAGCAUGGAACCAAAGAAGUCCCUGCAACACAUCUCUGGAAGGAUUGCAACAUCAUGAAGGAGUUCAAAAAUUCCGAUCUCUUCCGGUAUGAUCAGGGCCCAUCGGGCGGUUCAGGUCCUGGUUUUCAUGGUGGCGGCGGUUCAAGCUCUGGGUUUUAGAAUAAUCAUAAUAAUCAGAACAACCAAGGUGGCAAUAACCAACAGAGUGGUCAAGGGAAUCAGCAACAGUCGGGUUACCAGAGUCACCCGAAGCAGCUGAAUGGUGGACAAUAUCAUGUAUUCACCACUAGUCUGUGCAAGCUUGAUCUGAAGCUGCAUAAUGCGGUUGAACCGGCAGUUCCACGCUAUCUGCGGUGGUCGGAACAACCCAUCGUGUGGAGUAGGGAGGAUCAUCCGCCCCGGGUUGACAAUCCGGGGCAGCUAGCUCUGGUGGUGGCACCUCAGGUGGGAGGUUACAAGUUCACCAAAGUACUCAUGGAUGGAGGAAGCAGUAUUAAUAUUCUGUAAUAUGAGACAUUCCGUCGAAUGGGGUUGACAGAUAAGAAUCUUAAACCGUCCAAUACUGUGUUCCAUGGCGUGGUACCAGGAAAAUCAGCAUAUCCAGUGGGCAAGAUUGCCUUGGAAGUUGUGUUUGGGGAUGAACAUGAUUCCCGGUCUGAGACAUUGACUUUUGAAGUGGUGAGAAUCUAGAGCCCGUAUCACGCACUGUUCGGACGACCGGCUUAUGCAAAGUUCAUGGCCAGGCCUUGUUAUAUUUACUUACAGCUCAAGAUGCCGGGUCACAAAGGAACCAUCACGGUUCAUGGCAGUCGAAAGAUCACUUUGGAUUGCGAAGAGAGUGAUGUGUCUUACGCUGAGUCGGUUUGUGCUACAGAGGAGUUAAAGUUUUACAAGGAGAAUGUUGAUCCGGCAGAUAUGACCCCUCUGAAGAAGCCCACCACUGAGCAUGACCCAACCCUACACUUCAAACCGACUGACGAGGCAAAGCUUGUUGACUUUGUACCUGGCAAUUCAUCCAAGCAGUUCAACAUCAGCACCAAUCUGGAUCCAAAAUAGGAAAGCGCGCUCAUCGAGUUCAUCCGUGAGAACCGGGACAUCUUUGCAUGGAAGCCGUCUGACAUGCCAGGUGUACCGAGGGAACUCGCUGAGCACACUCUUAAUAUUGAUCCGAAGUUUAAACCAGUCAAGCAAUUUCUUUGUCGCUUUAAUGAAGAGAGACGCAAGGCAACUGGGGAGGAGGUAGCCCGGCUGUUGGCUGCUGGGUUUAUCGUUGAAGUGUUUCAUCCUGAAUGGUUGGCUAAUCCGGUGCUGGUUCUUAAGAAAAACGGGACUUGGCGCAUGUGUGUGGACUACACGGACUUAAAUAAGGCUUGCCCGACCAUCCUUUUGCUCUCCCGCAUAUUGAUCAGAUCAUUGAUGCGACGACGGGUUGUGAGCGCCUGAGUUUUUUGGAUGCUUACUCAGGGUACCAUCAGAUCAAAAUGGCAGUUAAGGACCAGGAGAAGACAACCUUCAUCACUCCCUUUGGAGCCUUCUACUAUGUUUCUAUGCCCUUUGGGCUCAAGAGUGCUCAGGCAACUUAUCAGCGUUGUGUGCAGAAUUGUCUUCACACGCAGAUUGGGCGUAAUGUUCAUGCCUAUGUGGAUGACAUUGUGGUGAAAUCCAGGGAAAAGGAGACAUUGAUAGCUGAUCUCAAGGAGACGUUUGACAACCUUCGGGUUUACAAUAUGAUGCUUAACCCGAAUAAGUGUGUUUUUGGUGUUCCGGCAGGCAAACUGCUCGGUUUUCUUGUAUCUAACAGGGGCAUUGAGGCCAAUCCGGAAAAGAUCAAGGCAAUCACAUCCUUGGCUAAACCGACAUGUAUCAAUGAUGUUCAGCGUCUCGCAGGCCGGAUUGCAGCCCUCAGCCGGUUUAUCAGUCGUCUGGGUGAGAAGGCCAUUCCCUUGUAUCAGAUGUUGAAGAAGACGGAUGAUUUCAUCAGGAGUGAUGCGGCUAAUGCGGCCUUUGAGGAGUUAAAACGACAGUUGGUUGAACCGCCAGUUCUUGCAGCCCCAGUUGAUCAUUAGCCUUUGCUAUUAUAUGUGGCUGCUAAUGCCCGAGCGGUCAGUGUGUCUAUCGUGGUAGAGCGUAAAGAGGCUGGGAAGGAAUAUCCGGUUCAACGGCCGGUAUACUACAUCAGUGAAGUUCUGAUUGAGUCAAAACAACGCUAUCCGCAUUGGCAAAAGUUAGUGUAUGGGGUUUUUAUGGCCAGUCGAAAACUCAAGCAAUAUUUUCAGGGUCACCCCAUCACAGUGGUUAGUUCUGCUCCCUUGGGUGAUAUCAUCCAAAACAGAGAAGCAACUGGCCGGGUUGCAAAGUGGGCAAUUGAGCUUGGUCCACAUGGUUUGAAAUAUGUGCCUCGCACAGCCAUCAAGUCUCAGGCUCUUGUGGACUUUAUCAAUGACUGGACCGAGUUACAAGCACCGGAAGAGAAGCCGGAUAAUAUGUACUGGACUAUUCAUUUCGAUGGAUCAAGGCAGUUGGAAGGCUCGGGGGCUGGAGUUGUCCUUACCUCCCCCCGAGGUGAUAAAAUUUGCUAUGUCCUCCGCUUGAUGUUUCCUUGUACUAACAAUGUAGCUGAGUAUGAAGCCCUGCUUCAUGGUCUCCGUGUGGCUAAGGAGAUGAACUUAACUCGAGUUCGUUGUUUCAGAGAUUCUGAUCUGGUGGCUUAGCAAGUUUCUGGUACUUGGGAUUCUAAGGAUCCACUCAUGGCGGCUUACAGGCGUGAGGUAGAUAUGGUGGCGGGACACUUCAAAGGUUACCAGGUUGAGCAUAUUGAUCGGCGCAAAAACGAAGCGGCAGACGCUUUAAGACGGCUUGGAUCUCAGCGUAAACCGGUACCUCCUAACACCUUUUUAGACAUCUUGCAUAACUCGUCUGUCAAAUUGCCAACAGAAGAGGAUCUGUCUGUUCCUGAUCCGGAGGAGCAGUUGGUGGCUGCUUUACAUGUUGUGCCGGAUUGGAUGGUUCCAUAUCUAGCAUAUAUGAGCCAGGGUGAGCUACCAAAUGAUCAAGUCCUGGCCCGACAGAUAGUCCGGCGCUCUAAAUCCAUGGUUAUUCACAAUGGCGAGUUGCACCGCUGUAGCAUUUCAGGCGUAUUUCAGCGUUGUGUUUCUCCGGAGGAAGGCCAAGCGAUCCUCCGGGAAAUUCAUGAAGGGGAUUGUGGCCAUCAUGCCGGUUCAAAGUCCCUGGUUGCAAAAGCUUUUCGUCAUGGGUUUUACUGGUUGACAGCUCAUGCUGAUGCGGAGGAUCUGGUAAAGCGAUGUGAUGCUUGUCAAAAAAUUUCACGCAGAGCUCAUGUUCCGGCUCAGGAACUACGGAUGAUUCCCAUCACUUGGCCUUUUGCUACUUGGGGGCUUGAUAUGGUGGGACCCUUCAAAUGUUCCCGGGACAAGAAGACCCACCUGUUGGUGGCAGUUGAUAAAUUCACCAAGUGGGUUGAAGCGGAGCCUGUUAGCAACUGUGAUGCAGCUACGGCGGUUCAAUUUCUCAAAAAGAUUAUUUUCCGUUUUGGCUACCCACACUGUUGGAAAUAUGCCCUAGAGGCAAUAAUAAAAGUGUUAUUAUUAUAUUUCCUUGUUCAUGAUAAUUGUCUUUUAUUCAUGCUAUAACUGUAUUAUCCGGAAAUCGUAAUACACGUGUGAAUACAUAGACCACAAUAUGUCCCUAGUGAGCCUCUAGUUGACUAGCUCGUUGUGAUCAACAGAUAGUCAUGGUUUCCUGGCUAUGGACAUUGGAUGUCGUUGAUAACGGGAUCACAUCAUUAGGAGAAUGAUGUGAUGGACAAGACCCAAUCCUAAGACUAGCACAAAGAUCGUGUAGUUCGUUUGCUAGAACUUUGCCAAUGUCAAGUAUCUCUUCCUUUGACCAUGAGAUCGUGUAACUCCUGGAUACCGUAGGAGUGCUUUGGGUGUAUCAAACGUCACAACGUAACUGGGUGACUAUAAAGGUGCACUACAGGUAUCUCCGAAAGUAUCUAUUGUUUUAUGCGGAUCGAGACUGGGAUUUGUCACUCCGUGUAAACGGAGAGGUAUCUCUGGGCCCACUCGGUAGGACAUCAUCAUAUGCGCAAUGUGACCAAGGAUUUGAUCACGGGAUGAUGUGUUACGGAACGAGUAAAGUGACUUGCCGGUAACGAGAUUGAACAAGGUAUCGGUAUACCGACGAUCGAAUCUCGGGCAAGUAAAAUACCGCUAGACAAAGGGAAUUGUAUACGGGAUCGAUUGAGUCCUUGACAUCGUGGUUCAUCCGAUGAGAUCAUCAUGGAACAUGUGGGAGCCAUCAUGGGUAUCCAGAUCCCGCUGUUGGUUAUUGACCGGAGAACGUCUCGGUCAUGUCUGCAUGUCUCCCGAACCCGUAGGGUCUACACACUUAAGGUUCGAUGACGCUAGGGUUAUAAAGGAAGCUUGUAUGUGGUUACCGAAUGUUGUUCGGAGUCCCGGAUGAGAUCCCGGACGUCACGAGGAGUUCCGGAAUGGUCCGGAGGUAAAGAUUUAUAUAUAGGAAGUCCUGUUUCGGCCAUCGGGACAAGUUUCGGGGUCAUCGGUAUUGUACCGGGACCACCGGAAGGGUCUCGGGGGCCCACCGGGUGGGGCCACCUGCCCCGGGGGGCCACAUGGGCUGUAGGGGGUGCGCCUUGGCCUACAUGGGCCAAGGGCACCAGCCCCUAGAGGCCCAUGCGCCAAGAUAAAGGAAAAAGGGGAGAGUCCUAAAGGGGGAAGGCACCUCCGAGGUGCCUUGGGGAGGAUGGACUCCUCCCCCCCUCCUUAGCCGCACCCCUUCCUUGGAGGAGGGGGCAAGGCUGCGCCUCCCCCCUCUCCCCUGCCCCUAUAUAUAGUGGAGGGGAGGGAGGGCAUCCAUACCUGAGCCCUUGGCGCCUCCCUCCCUCCCGUGACACCUCCUCCUCUCCCGUAGGUGCUUGGCGAAGCCCUGCAGGAUUGCCACGCUCCUCCAUCACCACCACGCCGUUGUGCUGCUGCUGGAUGGAGUCUUCCUCAACCUCUCCCUCUCUCCUUGCUGGAUCAAGGCAUGGGAGACAUCGUCGAGCUGUACGUGUGUUGAACGCGGAGGUGCUGUCCGUUCGGCACUAGAUCAUCGGUGAUUUGAAUCACGACGAGUACGACUCCAUCAACCCCGUUCACUUGAACGCUUCCGCUUAGCGAUCUACAAGGGUAUGUAGAUGCACUCUCCUUCCCCUCGUUGCUAGUCUCUCCAUAGAUAGAUCUUGGUGACACGUAGGAAAAUUUUGAAUUUCUGCUACGUUCCCCAACAGUGGCAUCAUGAGCUAGGUCUAUUGCGUAGAUUCUUUGCACGAGUAGAACACAAAGUAGUUGUGGGCGUUGAUGUUGUUCAAUAUGCUUACCGUUACUAGUCCAAUCUUGUUUCGACGGUAUUGUGGGAUGAAGCGGCCUGGACCGACCUUACACGUACUCUUACGUGAGACAGGUUCCACCGAUUGACAUGCACUUGGUGCAUAAGGUGGCUAGCGGGUGCCAGUCUCUCCCACUUUAGUCGGAACGGAUUCGAUGAAAAGGGUCCUUAUGAAGGGUAAAUAGCAAUUGGCAUAUCACGUUGUGGUUUUGCGUAGGUAAGAAACGUUCUUGCUAGAAACCCAUAGCAGCCACAUAAAACAUGCAAACAACAAUUAGAGGACGUCUAACUUGUUUUUGCAGGGUAUGCUAUGUGAUGUGAUAUGGCCAAAAGGAUGUGAUGAAUGAUAUAUGUGAUGUAUGAGAUUGAUCAUGUUCUUGUAAUAGGAUUCACGACUUGCAUGUCGAUGAGUAUGACAACCGGCAGGAGCCAUAGGAGUUGUCUUAAUUUAUUGUAUGACCUGCGUGUCAUUGAAGAACGCCAUGUAACUUACUUUACUUUAUUGCUAAACGCGUUAGCCAUAGAAGUAGAAGUAGUCGUUGGCGUGACAACUUCAUGAAGACACGAUGAUGGAGAUCAUGAUGAUGGAGAUCAUGGUGUCAUGCCGGUGACGAUGAUGAUCAUGGAGCCCCGAAGAUGAAGAUCAAAAGGAGCAAAAUGAUAUUGGCCAUAUCAUGUCACUAUUUGAUUGCAUGUGAUGUUUAUUAUGAUUAUGCAUCUUGUUUACUUAGGACGACGGUAGUAAAUAAGAUGAUCCCUUACAAAAUUUCAAGAAGUGUUUGUUGGAAAUAUGCCCUAGAGGCAAUAAUAAAAGUAUUAUUAUUAUAUUUCCUUGUUCAUGAUAAUUGUCUUUUAUUCAUGCUAUAACUGUAUUAUCCGGAAAUCGUAAUACACGUGUGAAUACAUAGACCACAAUAUGUCCCUAGUGAGCCUCUAGUUGACUAGCUCAUUGUGAUCAACAGAUAGUCAUGGUUUCCUGGCUAUGGACAUUGGAUGUCGUUGAUAACGGGAUCACAUCAUUAGGAGAAUGAUGUGAUGGACAAGACCCAAUCCUAAGACUAGCACAAAAGAUCGUGUAGUUCAUUUGCUAGAGCUUUGCCAAUGUCAAGUAUCUCUUCCUUCGACCAUGAGAGCGUGUAACUCCUGGAUACCGUAGGAGUGCUUUGGGGGUAUCAAACGUCACAACGUAACUGGGUGACUAUAAAGGUGCACUACAGGUAUCUCCGAAAGUAUCUAUUGUUUUAUGCGGAUCGAGACUGGGAUUUGUCACUCCGUGUAAACGGAGAGGUAUCUCUGGGCCCACUCGGUAGGACAUCAUCAUAUGCGCAAUGUGACCAAGGAGUUGAUCACGGGAUGAUGUGUUACGGAACGAGUAAAGUGACUUGCCGGUAACGAGAUUGAACAAGGUAUUGGAUACCGACGAUCGAAUCUCGGGCAAGUAAAAUACCGCUAGACAAAGGGAAUUGUAUACGGGAUCGAUUGAGUCCUUGACAUCGUGGUUCAUCCGAUGAGAUCAUCGUGGAACAUGUGGGAGCCAACAUGGGUAUCCAGAUCCCGCUGUUGGUUAUUGACCGGAGAACGUCUUGGUCAUGUCUGCAUGUCUCCCGAACCCGUAGGGUCUACACACUUAAGGUUCGAUGACGCUAGGGUUAUAAAGGAAGCUUGUAUGUGGUUACCGAAUGUUGUUCGGAGUCCCGGAUGAGAUCCCGGACGUCACGAGGAGUUCCGGAAUGGUCCGGAGGUAAAGAUUUAUAUAUAGGAAGUCCUGUUUCGGCCAUCGGGACAAGUUUCGGGGUCAUCGGUAUUGUACCGGGACCACCGGAAGGGUCCCGGGGGCCCACCGGGUGGGGCCACCUGCCCCGGGGGGCCACAUGGGCUGUAGGGGGUGCGCCUUGGCCUACAUGGGCCAAGGGCACCAGCCCCUAGAGGCCCAUGCGCCAAGAUAAAGGAAAAAGGGAAGAGUCCUAAAGGGGGAAGGCACCUCCGAGGUGCCUUGGGGAGGAUGGACUCCUCCCCAUCCUUAGCCGCACCCCUUCCUUGGAGGAGGGGGCAAGGCUGCGCCUUCCCCCUCUCCCUUGGCCCUAUAUAUAGUGGAGAAAAGGAGGAGCAAUCAUACCUAAGGCCUUUGGUUGCCUCCCUCUCCCUCCCGUGACACAUCUCCUCUCCCGUAGGUGCUCGGCGAAGCCCUGCGGGAUUGCCACGCUCCUCCACCACCACCACGCCGUUGUGCUGCUGUUGGAUGGAGUCUUCCUCAACCUCUCCCUCUCUCCUUGCUGGAUCAAGGCGUGGGAGACGUCACCGGGCUGUACGUGUGUUGAACGCGGAGGUGCUGUCCGUUCGGCACUUGAUCAUCGGUGAUCUGAAUCACGAUGAGUACGACUCCAUCAACCCCAUUCACUUGAACGCUUCCGCUUAGCGAUCUACAAGGGUAUGUAGAUGCACUCCUCCUUCUACUCGUUGCUGGUCUCUCCAUAGAUAGAUCUUGGUGUUACGUAGGAAAAUUUUUGAAUUUCUGCUACGUUACCCAACAGUGGCAUCAUGAGCUAGGUCUAUUGCGUAGAUUCUUUGCACGAGUAGAACACAAAGUAGUUGUGGGCGUCGAUAUUGUUCAAUAUGCUUGCCGUUACUAGUCUUAUCUUGAUUCGGCGGCAUCGUGGGAUGAAGCGGCCCGGACCAACCUUACACGUACGCUUACGUGAGACCGGUUCCACCGACAAACAUGCACUAGUUGCAUAAGGUGGCUGGCGGGUGUCUGUCUCUCCCACUUUAGUCGGAUCGGAUUCGAUGAAAAGGGUCCUUAUGAAGGGUAAAUAGCAAUUGGCAUAUCACGUUGUGGUUCAUGCGUAGGUAAGAAACGUUCUUGCUAGAAACCCAUAGCAGCCACGUAAAACAUGCAAACAACAAUUAGAGGACGUCUAACUUGUUUUUGCAGGGUAUGCUAUGUGAUGUGAUAUGGCCAAAGGAUGUGAUGAAUGAUAUAUGUGAUGUAUGAGAUUGAUCAUGUUCUUGUAAUAGGAUUCACGACUUGCAUGUCGAUGAGUAUGACAACCGGCAGGAGCCAUAGGAGUUGUCUUUAUUUUUUGUAUGACCUACGUGUCAUUGAAGAACGCCAUGUAAACUACUUUACUUUAUUGCUAAACGCGUUAGUCAUAGAAGUAGAAGUAGUCGUUGGCGUGACAACUUCAUGAAGACACGAUGAUGGAGAUCAUGAUGAUGGAGAUCAUGGUGUCAUGCCGGUGACAAGAUGAUCAUGGAGCCCCGAAGAUGGAGAUCAAUGGAGCUAUAUGAUAUUGGCCAUAUCAUGUCACAACUAUAUAAUUGCAUGUGAUGUUUAUUAUGUUUAUGCAUCUUAUUUGCUUAGAACGACGGUAGUAAAUAAGAUGAUCCCUCAUUAAAAUUUCAAGAAGUGUUCUCCCCUAACUGUGCACCGUUGCUACAGUUCGUUGUUUCGAAGCACCACGUGAUGAUCGGGUGUGAUAGAUCCUUACGUUCACAUACAACGGGUGUAAGACAGUUUUACACAGCAAAAACACUUAGGGUUAACUUGACGAGCCUAGCAUGUACAGACAUGGCCUCGGAACACGGAGACCGAAAGGUCGAGCAUGAGUCGUAUAGUAGAUACGAUCAACAUGAAGAUGUUCACCGACGUUGACUAGUCCGUCUCACGUGAUGAUCGGACACGGUCUAGUUUGACUCGGAUCAUGUAAUCACUUAGAUGACCAGAGGGAUGUCUAUCUGAGUGGGAGUUCAUAAGAUGAACUUAAUUAUCUUGAACAUAGUCAAAAGACCCUUUGCAAAUUAUGUCGUAGCUCGCGCUAUAGUUCUACUGUUUAGAUAUGUUCCUAGAGAAAAUUAUAGUUGAAAGUUGAAAGUAGCGAUUAUGCGGACAGUAGAAAGCUUAUGUCCUUAAUGUGCUGCUCAAUGUGCUGAACCCCAAACGUCGUUUGUGGAUGUUUCGAACAUCGAACAUACACGUUUUGAUAACUACGUGAUAGUUCAGUUAAACGGUUUAGAAUUGAGGCACCAAAGAUGUUUUUGAAACAUCGCGAAACAUAUGAGAUGUUUUGAGGGCUGAAAUUGGGAUUUCAGGCUCGUGCCCACGUCAAGAGGUAUAAGACCUCCGACGAUUUUCUUAGCCUGCAAACUAAGGGAGAAAAGCUCAAUCGUUGAGCUUGUGCUCAGAUUGUCUGAGUGCAACAAUCACUUGAAUCGAGUGGGAGUUGAUCUUCCAGAUGAGAUAGUGAUGUUUCCCCAAAGUCAUUGCCACCAAGCUACUAGAGCUUCAUGAUGAACUAUAACAUAUCAAGGAUAGAGAUGAUGAUCCUUGAGGUAUUCGCGUUGUUUGACAUCGCGAAAGUAGAAAUCAAGAAGGAGCAUCAAUUGUUGAUGGUUGGUGAAACCACUAGUUUCAAGAAGGGCAAGGGCAAGAAGGGAUACUUCAUGAAACGGCAAAUCAGCUGCUGCUCCAGUGAAGAAACCCGAGGUUGAACCCAAACCCGAGACUAAGUGCUUCUGUGAUAAGGGGAACAACCACUGGAGCAGGAUUACCCUGGAUACUUGGUAGAUGAGAAGGCUGGCAAGGUCGAUAGAAGUAUAUUGGAUAUACAUUAUGUUAAUGUGUACUUUACUAGUACUCCUAGUAGCACCAGGGUAUUGGAUACCGGUUCGGUUGCUAAGUGUUAGUAACUCGAAAUAAAAGCUACGGAAUAAACGGAGACUAGCUAAAGGUAAGCUGACGAUAUAUGUUGGAAGUGUUUCCAAGGUUGAUAUGAUCAAGCAUCGCACGCUCCCUCUACCACCGAGAUUGGUGUUUGCGUUGAGCAUAGACAUGAUUGGAUUAUGUCUAUCGCAAUACGGUUAUUCAUUUAAGGAGAAUAAUGGUUACUCUAUUUUUGAAUAAUACCUUCAAUGGUCUUGCACCUAAAGGAAUGGUUUAUUGAAUCUCGAUCGUAGUGAUACACAUUUUCAUGCCAAAAGAUAUAAGAUAGUAAUGAUAGUACCACUUAUUUGUGGCACUGCCAUGUAAGUCAUAAUGGUAUAAAACGCAUGAAGAAGCUCCAUGUUGAUGGAUCUUUGGGCUCACUCGUUUUUUGAAAAGUUUGAGACAUGCGAACCAUGUCUAUUGGUGUAUAUGCAUGAAGAAACUCCAUGCAAAUGGACAGUUUUGACUCACUUGAUUUUGAAUCACUUGGGACAUGCAAAUCAUACCACAUGGGCAAGAUGACUGAAAAGCCUCGUUUUCAGUAAGAUGGAACAAGAUAGCAACUUGUUGGAAGUAAUACAUUUUGAUGUGUACAGUCCAAUGAGUGCUGAGGCAUGUAGUGGAUAUUGUUAUGUUCUUACUUCACAGAUAAUUUGAGUGGAUGUUGAGUACAUUUACUUGAUGAAUCAUGAGUCUGAAUUAUUGAAAGGUUCAAGUAAUUUCAGGGUGAAGUUGAAAGAUCGUCGUGACAAGAGGAUAAAAUAUCUAUGAUAUGAUCAUAGAGAUGAAUAUCUGAAUUACGAGUUUUGGCACAGAAUUAAGACAUUGUGGAAAUAGUUUCACAACUAAUACAGCCUGGAACACCAUAGUGUGAUGGUGUGUCCGAACAUCAUAACUGCACCCUAUUGGAUAUGAUGCAUACCAUGAUGUCUCUUAUCGAAGUACCACUAUCGUUCAUGGGUUAGGCAUUAGAGACAACCACAUUCACUUUAAAUAGGGCACCACGUAAUUCCGAUGAGAUGACACCGUAUGAAUUAUGGUUUAGAGAAACCUAAGUUGUCGUUUCUUAAAAGUUUGGGGCUGCGACGCUUAUAUGAAAAAGUUUCAGGUUGAUAAGCUCGAACCCAAAAGCGGAUAAAAUGCAUCUUCAUAGGAAACCCAAAACAGUUGGUUAUACCUCCUAAUUCAGAUCCAAAAGCAAUAUGGAUUGUUUCUUGAAUCGGGUCCUUUCUCGAGGAAAAGUUUCUCUCAAAAGAAUUGAGUGGGAGGAUGGUGGAAACUUGAUGAGGUUAUUGAACCGUCUCUUCAACUAGUGUGUGGCAGGGCACAGGAAGUUGUUCCUGUGGCACCUACACCAAUUGAAGUGGAAGCUUGUGAUGUUGAUCAUGAAACUUCGGAUCAAGUCACUACCAAACCUCGUGGGAUGACAAGGAUACGUACUACAUCAGAGUGGUACGUAAUCCUAUCUUGGAAGUCAUGUUGCUAGACAACAAUGAACCUACGAGCUAUGGAGAAGCGAUGGUGGGCCCGGAUUCCGAUAAAUGGCUUGAGGCCAUAAAAUCCGAGAGAGGAUCCAUGUAUGAAAACAAAGUGUAGACUUUGGCAGAACGGCUCGAUGGUCGUAAGGCUAAUGAGUACAGAUGGAUUUCAAAAGGAAGACGGACAAUGAUGGUAAAUGUCACCAUCAAGAAAGCUCGACUUGUCGUUAAGAUGUUUUCCGACAAGUUCAAGGAGUUGACUACGAUGAGAUUUUCUCACUCGUAGCGAUGCUAAGAGUCUGUUGGAAUUAUAUUAGCGAUUACUGCAUUAUUUAUGUAAUCUUGCAGAUAGGAUGUCAAAACAUUGUUUCCUCGACGAUUUUCUUGAGGAAAGGUUGUAUGUGAUACAACCGGAAGGUUUUGUCAAUCCCGAAAGAUGCUAAUAAGUAUGCAAAGCUACAGCAAUCCUUCUAAGGACUGGAGUAAGCAUCUCGGAGUUGGAAUGUGCGCUUUGAUGAGAUGAUCAAAGAUUUUGGGUUUGUACAAAGUUUAUGAGAAACUUGUAUUUCCAAAGAAGUGAGUGGGAGCACUAUAGAAUUUCUGAUGUGUAUAUGUUGUUGACAUAUUGAUGAUCAGAAAUGAUGUAGAAUUUCUAGAAAGCAUAUAGGGUUAUUUGAAAGGUGUUUUUUAAAUGGAAAGCCUGGAUUAAGCUACUUGAUCAUUGAGCAUCAAGAUCUAUAAGGAUAGAUCAAAAUGCUUAAUAAUACUUUCAAAUGAGCACAUACCUUGACAUGAUCUUGAAGGUGUUCAAGAUGGACCAGUCAAAGAAGGAAUUCUUGCCUGAGUUGUAAGGUACGAAGUUAAGACUUAAAGCUCGACCACGGCAGAAUAGAGAGAAAGGACGAAGGUCGUCCCCUAUGCUUAAGACGUAGGCUCUUCAGUAUGCUAUGCUGUGUACCGCACCUGAAGUGUGCCUUGCCAUGAGUCAGUCAAGGGGUACAAGAGUGAUCCAAGAAUGGCUCACAGGACAGCGGUCAAAGUUAUCCUUAGUAACUAGUGGACUAAGGAAUUUUCUCGAUUAUGGAGGUGGUAAAAGAGUUCGUCGUAAAGGUUACGACGAUGCAAGCUUAACACCUAUCCGGAUAGCUCUAAGUAGAGAUACCGGAUACGUACAAUGGGGCAACAAUUUAGAAUAGUUGCAAGUAGAACAGUUAUUUGGAAUAGCUCCAAAUAGAGCGUGGUAGCUGCAUCUAGGAGAUGACAUAAAGAUUUGUAAAGCACACAUGGAUCUGAAAGGUUCAGACCCAUUGACUAAAACCUCUCUCACAAGCAACAUGAUCAAACAUAAAACUCAUUGAGUGUUAAUCACAUAGUGAUGUGAACUAGACUACUGACUCUAGUAAACUCUUGGGUAUUAGUCACAUGGCGAUGUGACCUGUGAGUGUUAAUCACAUGACAAUGUGAACUAGAUUAUUGACUCUAGUGCAAGUGGGAGACUGUUGGAAAUAUGCCCUAGAGGCAAUAAUAAAAGUAUUAUUAUUAUAUUUCCUUGUUCAUGAUAAUUGUCUUUUAUUCAUGCUAUAACUGUAUUAUCCGGAAAUCGUAAUACACGUGUGAAUACAUAGACCACAAUAUGUCCCUAGUGAGCCUCUAGUUGACUAGCUCGUUGUGAUCAACAUAUAGUCAUGGUUUCCUGGCUAUGGACAUUGGAUGUCGUUGAUAACGGGAUCACAUCAUUAGGAGAAUGAUGUGAUGGACAAGACCCAAUCCUAAGACUAGCACAAAGAUCGUGUAGUUCGUUUGCUAGAACUUUGCCAAUGUCAAGUAUCUCUUCCUUUGACCAUGAGAUCGUGUAACUCCUGGAUACCGUAGGAGUGCUUUGGGUGUAUCAAACGUCACAACGUAACUGGGUGACUAUAAAGGUGCACUACAGGUAUCUCCGAAAGUAUCUAUUGUUUUAUGCGGAUCGAGACUGGGAUUUGUCACUCCGUGUAAACGGAGAGGUAUCUCUGGGCCCACUCGGUAGGACAUCAUCAUAUGUGCAAUGUGACCAAGGAUUUGAUCACGGGAUGAUGUGUUACGGAACGAGUAAAGUGACUUGCCGGUAACGAGAUUGAACAAGGUAUCGGUAUACCGACGAUCGAAUCUCGGGCAAGUAAAAUACCGCUAGACAAAGGGAAUUGUAUACGGGAUCGAUUGAGUCCUUGACAUCGUGGUUCAUCCGAUGAGAUCAUCGUGGAACAUGUGGGAGCCAUCAUGGGUAUCCAGAUCCCGCUGUUGGUUAUUGACUGGAGAACGUCUCGGUCAUGUCUGCAUGUCUCCCGAACCCGUAGGGUCUACACACUUAAGGUUCGAUGACGCUAGGGUUAUAAAGGAAGCUUGUAUGUGGUUACCCAAUGUUGUUCGGAGUCCCGGAUGAGAUCCCGGACGUCACGAGGAGUUCCGGAAUGGUCCGGAGGUAAAGAUUUAUAUAUAGGAAGUCCUGUUUCGGCCAUCGGGACAAGUUUCGGGGUCAUCGGUAUUGUACCGGGACCACCGAAAGGGUCCCGGGGGCCCACCGGGUGGGGCCACCUGCCCCGGGGGGCCACAUGGGCUGUAGGGGGUGCGCCUUGGCCUACAUGGGCCAAGGGCACCAGCCCCUAGAGGCCCAUGCGCCAAGAUAAAGGAAAAAGGGAAGAGUCCUAAAGGGGGAAGGCACCUCCGAGGUGCCUUGGGGAGGAUGGACUCCUCCCCAUCCUUAGCCGCACCCCUUCCUUGGAGGAGGGGGCAAGGCUGCGCCUUCCCCCUCUCCCUUGGACCUAUAUAUAGUGGGGAAAAGGAGGAGCAAUCAUACCUAAGGCCUUUGGUUGCCUCCCUCUCCCUCCUGUGACACAUCUCCUCUCCCGUAGGUGCUCGGCGAAGCCCUGCGGGAUUGCCACGCUCCUCCACCACCACCACGCCGUUGUGCUGCUGUUGGAUGGAGUCUUCCUCAACCUCUCCCUCUCUCCUUGCUGGAUCAAGGCGUGGGAGACGUCACCGGGCUGUACGUGUGUUGAACGCGGAGGUGCUGUCCGUUCGGCACUUGAUCAUCGGUGAUCUGAAUCACGAUGAGUACGACUCCAUCAACCCCGUUCACUUGAACGCUUCCGCUUAGCGAUCUACAAGGGUAUGUAGAUGCACUCCUCCUUCUACUCGUUGCUGGUCUCUCCAUAGAUAGAUCUUGGUGUUACGUAGGAAAUUUUUUGAAUUUCUGCUACGUUACCCAACACACACAGCAUUAUCACGGAUAAUGGUACUAACCUAUCCAAAGGUGAGAUGGAGGAUUUCUGUCAGAGGGAGCAUAUUCGGCUUGAUCUAGCAUCUGUGGCGCACCCUCAAUCCAACGGUCAAGCAAAGCGAGCUAAUCAAGAAAUCUUAAAGGGUCUUAAACCCCGACUCAUGAUUCCCUUGAAACGGACGCCGGAUUGCUGGGUGGAAGAAUUACCUUCUGUGUUGUGGAGUAUCAACACCACCCCCAAUCGAUCAACAGGAUACACGCCUUUCUUUAUGGUCUACGGGGCAGAGGCGGUUCUCCCAAGUGAUAUACGUCAUGAUUCGCCCCGGGUUGCUAAUUACGUUGAAGUGGAUAACGAGCAAGCCCGCCAAGAGGCACUGGAUUUGCUAGAUGAGAAGCGGGAUAUGGAUUUGGCACGCUCGGCGGUUUAUCAACAAGACCUGCGGCGUUAUCACAGCCGUCGGGUUAGGACAAGAGCCUUUCAAGAAGGUGACUUGGUGCUCCGGCUUAUCCAGGAUCAGACCAGCAUACACAAGUUAUCCCCGCCUUGGGAAGGACCCUUUGUGGUCAGCAAGAAUCUGCACAACAGAUCAUACUACCUCAUUGACGUUCGAGAUGACUCACGCAAAUCUGAGGAGGAGACCCGGCGGCCCUGGAACAUAGCUCUCCUCCGGCCUUACUACACUUGAGCCACAGGCUCUUUUUUAUGUACAUAUUUUGACAAUGUAUAUAUUAUCAUCAAUAAGUAAAUCAGCAUCCUUGCUUUAAAGCGGGGCCUCUGCUGUUUUUUCUCAAAUAUUCUUUGAGCUACAUGGGGGUUUCAGCUGACAAAGCAGAGUACUACCCGUUAAACCGGCUAUCACGCCACAAAGCUUGGGAGCUUCACACCCAAAGGGCCAAAGAGAGUUUCGAUGCUAUGCACAACUCAAACAUAGGUACCCAAUGAGCACAGCUCAUCACACAGCUUGGGAGCUUCACACCCAAAGGGCCAAAGAGAGUUUCGAUGCUCAAACAUAGGCACCUAAUGAGCACAGCUCAUCACUUUACUUGGGGGCUCCUUGGUCCAAUACCAAGAAGUAUGAAUGGACCCUUGUAGCUGGGUAUCGACCCACGGCUUGGAAGCCUGGUACAUUUACCUAAAACCCUGGGUUAACCUGCCUUCAUCAAGUAAGACACUCCUAUCCAGGUCAUCCUGGCACGGCCCUCCGAACGUUUGAUAGUUACUCUCCUUCAGACCCUGCACUUGUCAAAGUUAAAACGGUGAUUGGUUAGUUGGAGGUCCAUCUUAAAAGGCUUUGUUAAAUGGUUCAACUCAGUGGCCUGGCAGCCCACAAAAAGCCUCGCAUUUGGGCCUGACAGCCCCCAAAAAGCCUCGAGUACACGAUUUUCAUUUGAGUUUUUGCUGUAUUUUAUGAUAAACCGAUUUUUUCUUGGCUUAAUCAGUCAUCUUCUUCGCCCGGUAUUCCUUAAACCGGCGUGGUUUGCAACCACACGUUGACAGACCUUUAUUAUAAUCCGAAGUUUCUUAACCCGGCUCGGCGUUGACUUCCUGUCAACAGCCCGGAUCAUCUGGCGUGAAUCAUCACCCGGUAUGACUUAAUCUACGACAUCAAGACAUGACGGAGAUACAAAUAAUUCAGAUUUGGGUUGUUCACCCUUGUCACAAUUCAAGUUGGCCAGCCAACUAACCAGGGAUUUUAUAUUACCGGUAUGUAUAAUUUCAUAUCUUUAUGAUUUGAUUAUCGAUCCGGCCUAUUUUGGGUAUUAUGACCCGUCCGACGGUAAACCGCCAGGACUCUUUGUCUUUUUAUGAGUACAGGAAUUGCAUAUUAUGAUGCUUGGAACAAAAUUAACAUUGAUAUGGCGGAUCCACGCAAAAUAUCUCUUGCACGAUGGCAGCAGAUCAUCAUAAGUUUUUUGCUAUCCUAUUACAUGGCAUUCCAAGGCCCAAAAUAUGGAAUUAUUCAUGGAUUGUUCACGAUAUAUCAACCGCCUUGACGGAUUAAGCUUCAUCACCGGGUUGACGUGAGGUAGAUGGGUCAUCUGGCGUCGGUUCAGCCUCCUCCUCAUCCAAUGACUGGAAGUCAUUGGUGGUCCAGUCAAUCCGGGUCAAGGCCUGAAAGACAGCCUCUUCACUUAUAAGCUCAGCCGGAUCAACGUCAGGAGCGUAAGUGUGCUUACAGAUUGGUGGGAUGAGGUUAUGCACUUCAGGAAUCACAGCUUCAACCCAUUUGUUGUUUGCAUCAUAGAAAGAUCGGUGAACCGUCAGGUUAGCCUCCUCUGCUAGUUGACUCGCCAAAGGACGCAUCUCCCUUGUUAUCCGUUUGAGGGCGUCAUUGUCAAAUUCUUUGCCAUUUUCUUGUGCACUGGGGAAGCCUUUGGAUAUAUCAGCCGGAUCAAGAUCAGCUAUCCAUGCCUUGGCUCGAGUCAGCGCCAGCAAAGCGCCUGCCCAAGCAGCGGAUCGCUUCAGCUCUUCUAUUUGCGCUGGCGUCAUUGAGAGACGAUCCAGCGUAUCUCUGAUAAGUGUUGGUGCCUCAUUAUCAUAUGAAGCUGCGCAUAUAACCCGUUGAGCGCCGGUAUAUAGCUGUUCAAUCAGUGUAUAUGCCACUUUAAGCUUCUUCCGCAUGUCAGCACCUAGGUGAGCGAUGUGACUCCCUAUAUAAGUUCAGGAAAUACAUGUUAAAACGAUGAAAUUUCAAAGAGAUACAACUUUUGGCAACAAUACUUACCAAAUAUGGCAGAGGUCAUGGCAUUGAUUUGGCGCUUCAGUCCAGACAAUUCUUCUGCCACCGGUUUAAAAGCCGCUUCAGCAGUCUCCGCCCGCUUCACCAGUCCGGCCUUCUCGGUGUCCCAGUUGGCCCGCUCAAACUUAAACCAUUCUUUAAGCUGCUCCAUGGUGGUCAAGGCGGUUUUCAGCUCCUCCUUGGCCUUGCUGGAUUCUGUUUGUUGGGAUUCAAGAUUUGCUCGAAGAUCAGCAAUUUGAGAGAUUUGUUGAUUUAUUUCACUCUGCAACAGUAAGAGGGCAUGUUAAUAUCUUUUCAAAGUCCCAAGCAUAUAACCAGUUAUACACUCGGCACUUGGGGGCUAAUGCGGAUCCUUUUUUAUGCGGGCAUUUGAAGUCCCACGGAUUAAUACAAGUUUUAAUCCUGGCACUUGGGGGCUAAUGUGUGUUUGAUCAGACAAAGAAAAUUUCACAAGUUACCGCAUGAAGUAUAUGAAGUCCCGGUUUGACUUUUUCAAGACAAACCGGCCCUUGAGGCCUACAAUGCACUGAAGGUACAGAACAAGAAGCAAUAGUGUUUACCUCAUAACGUUCCUUCAUCAGAUUUACUAAACCGGCUUCAAAGUCGCGGCUUGUAUACAGCCGGUUCAGAAAGCCGGAAUGAAGAUCUUGAGCAGUGAGAUUGGUAUAAGCAGACAAAUUAGUCUUCCCUUUCCCCUUGUUCAUGGCAGCAAAUUCAUCCUUAGUUGUGUGCUUUGACAGAACAACCGGAUUACCAGGGGCGUUAUAUGCAGUGCCUGUAACGACAACGUCAUCAUCCUUGGCCGGGCUGGAAGAAUCAAUGUUCUGAACUGGACUUGGUAUUUUCGUGGAAGGGCUCGGCGGUUUGAUAAUUGGACUUGGCGGGUCAGCAAUUGAGUCCCGUUGUUCCAUUGCUGGGCUUGGCGGAGCAGGAGGAUGUGAAGUGUCAGCUUCUGCAGUCGGUUCAACUUCUGGCGGGUUAGUAUUACCAUCUUGAUUCGGCCCAGCCGAGCUGUCCAUGGCAACUUCUGGGUGUUCGUCCUGAUGCUCGGGCGUCUUUUCCGUAUCAACUUCAACAGUAGGGUCGCUGGUCUUGGCCUUCUUGCUUAAUCGAGCUUUGGCGCUAUAACACCAACAGUUAGAGUAUGGUAAACCGACAAAGAAAGUUAUAAAUCAGGUAACACUUACCUAGCGACAACUUUGAGAGGAGGCAAUUGGGUCGUUGAUGAACCGCCAGACGAGCUGGAAGAAGCCUGGUAAUUCGGGUCAGACGGAUUGAGAGGGCAUCGGAAGAAACCUUUUAAAGGGUAUUGUUUUUCAGGAGAGCAAAUCACCUCUGGACGGUGUUUCCGGGAGGGUGUAUCAGCUAAAUCGAACGAGGUGAUUUGUUGACCACUAUGCCGGGUUGUGUGACGUUCUUCCGCUUGCCGUUUCUUCAAAGAAAAUUUUGGAUCCAAAUGAGCAAGGGGGUGAGAUUGUUUUACUUUCCAGACUGUACGCCACAUUCUUUGAACCGGCACAGGAUCUGAGUCGGAAGAAAGAAUAAUUACCUCAACAUGAUCUGCAUGGCUGGCCUCAGCGUCAUCCUGAAGAGGGUCAUUGUCAAUAAGAUAUACGAAAAGGGAGCCAAGUGAGUCAAGUUCUACCUCAGCGUCUGAUUCUUCCUCCUCCGGCGGAUCAGAAGAUUCGGCGGUUUUCUUCUUUCCAGGCUUCUUGGUGGCCUUGGUUUUUACACGAGGAGCACCGACCGGUUUAGUCCGUUUCCAGAAAGAGUUGUUGGCCUGAGAUUAAGGCAGAGAAAGGUUAGUAGACAGUCAAUACAAAAGUAAAAUCAGUGAAGUAUGUACAUAAAACUUACCGACGGCGGUUUAUUGGAGAUGUAAAACGGAGCCAAACUGGUUUGGCUACAUGCAGAGACCGGUUCAUCAAGCAUCUUCUUUACACAUUCGGUGAUUUCAUGGUCGGUCAUUAUUACUUCAUGAUAUCAUUGAGGGUCUUUUACAUUGCCGGUAUACUCAUGCAUCAAUCCGGGGCGGCGGCUCAAAGGCAGAAUGCCCCAAGAAACCCAGCAGCGGACAAGAUCAAUGCCAGCUAACCGUUGGCCAUCAGAGCCCGGAGCUUGGCGAGUUGAGGAGCGAAAUUCUUCCGUUCCACGGCGAUUAAAUGCUGAGGCAGUGGGUGUCCAUUGCUAAGCCGAUGAGGGCGGUAGCCCGGCAAGGGAUUUUCUCCAUCAGGAGCAGUGUUCCGGCGGUAAAACUAGGUCUGGUUCCAAUCUUUAGGAUGGCUAUGAUGUUUGGCAUGAGGGAAGUCAACCUCUUUCUUUUUUUGAAUUGACACGCCACCAAGCUCUGUGUUGGGGCCAUCUGAGAAUUCUGUACGGCGGUUCAGAUGAAAGAAAUCCCGGAAUAACUCCACGGGCUCUUCUUGAAGAUAGACUUCACAGAAUACUUGAAAGUUGCAUAUGUUUGAUACGGAGUUUGGACCGAUAUCUUGCGGAUGGAGUUGGAAGCUUGCGAGGACAUCCUGGAAUUUUUUUGAUCCGGGCGGACUGAAUCCCCGGUCUAAGUGUUGCAUAAAAACAAUCACCUCUCCUUCUUGAGGUUCAGGUGGACAUUCCGAUUCCGGAACUCGCCAGUGGAGAACCUUCUUUGAGGCUAAGGCACCAGUGAUGACAUAACCAUUGAUCUGGGUCUCUGUAAUCCGGGAUGGAACCCAGUUGCAAGCAGAAAAUUGCUUCGACAUUCUGGAAAGAGAAACUAAAAAUAAAAGCGCUGGUUUAAGGUAUCUAAUUCAGUGUUAAACCGGAGAAGAAUAUUAUGGAAGUGCAGUUGGCGGUUUAAGAGAGGGCUAAUGCUAUAUGGCGGAUUGGCUAUUAAAGAGUUAAACCGCCUGUAGGCAGAAUGGCCAGAGUUCGAAAUUUCUGAUAAGUAUUGACAGAAACAGGUUUCACACAAUGGUCAAAUUUAUUUGGAUCUACCAACAUCUGUAAAGCAGUUUUUUAUCUGAGUUCUAAAGGAGCUAAAUAGGGCAGGGAAAGCCAUAUACUCUACAGAGGUAAAAGAACGAUCUGCUAGCAUGAAAAUGGACGGAGGGUACCUACCGCAUGAGAUCUACAUUACUAUUUGGUCAAAGACUAUCGUGGAAGAUGGAAGAACAAAGAAAGAUGAGGAACUGUGCGGAAGAACUCGGGAACCCUAGAAACAGAUCGUAAGGCAAAGGAGAAAGGAAGCUUACCACUGCAGAUCUACUGCAGAAGAGGGAUGACGAAAAUCUGGUUCGUUUUAGGUUGAUGCAGCGGCCUUUGCUGAUGCAGAUCUCGAAGGUCGCGGACGGCGGCGGAGCUCCAGAGCUUGGGCGUCGCAAGGAAGAAGAAAGCAAAGGGGAAAUGAGAGAAGGGCCCUCGGACCUUAUUUAUGGAGGAGAGAGUAAAACGGCAAGCGCGGAAAUCAAGGAGCCUGAAACGGCAGGAUAAGUGCGCCUGUCGCCUCGAUUUUGGGAUAACCAUUAAGUGAAGGAAAUCUUUUUUAAUUAUUGUUUAUAGAGAUGAUGUCAUGAUGGACCGUUGCUGCGUUCAGAGGAUGACGUCACGACAGUUUACAAAGUUUCAAGAGAAGACAAUAUGGCGGUUUACGAAAAUACAAGAAGAUGCCUGCAAGGAAUAUUUGAAGUAUUGAAGAUUGACAUGAACAAAUUCAAAUCAAUAUGGGGCCUAAUGUGGAGGUUAUAUCUACUGAGUAUAAACCGGCCAGGAGGGUCCGGUUCACCCUUGAUUAUGUUAAAGCCCAUGAAGAUCCAGAAGAUGGCGCUUUACUAAAGAAGCAUAGAACCCGAAGCCCAAAGGCGGAUUAGGGCCCAUGAUGGUAAACCGCCAUGAUUAUGUAAACUUGUAUUGUAAGUUAGGAAAGGAGAGACCGAGCCAGACACUUUGUAUGAGUCGGCCUCGGGACUCUGUAAACCGGCCGGGCGUCAACCUGUAUAUAUAAAGGGGCGACCCGGCGGCGGUUUAGGGACAACAGACAACAACUCGAGACUCAGGCAAGCGUAUUCCGCUCCCUGAUCAUCGAAACCCAAUCAAUCCCAUCACAACUAGACGUAGGCUUUUACCUUCAUCGAAGGGGCCGAACUAGUAUAACUCCCGUGUCCCUUGUCCGGUUUAACCCCUUCAAGCUAACCCGUUGUGAUGGCUCCACGACUAAGUCCUUUCACAAGGACAUCUGACGUGAUAAUUCCACGACAGCAGGUUCAACCUCUACUUCAUUGUUUUUGCUAGGUUGAGCAUCAACAUGAACAUUAUCAUUAACAUUAUCACUAGGUUCAUGUUCAUCACCUGAUUGUGUCUCAGCAUCAGAGAUAGAAAUAUUAUUGGGAUUCUUAGGUGUGUCUACAGUAGGUUCACUAGAAGCAUGCAAAGUUGUAUCUUUUUCUUUUUCUUCUUUUUAGAAGUCUAGGUGCCUCUAAAUUAUUUCUCUGAGAAUCUUGCUCGAUUCUCUUAGGGUGGCCUUCAGGAUACAAAGGUUCCUGAGUCAUUCUACCAGUUCCAGUAGCCACUCUAACAACAAAGUCAUUUUUAUUAUUUAAUUCAUCAAGCAAAUCAUUUUGAGCUUAAGUACUUGCUCAGCUUGAGUAGCAACCAUAGACGCAUAUUUGCUAAUGAGUUUAAGUUCACCUUUAACUCUAGCCAUAUUAUCACUCACGCGUCCUACCUCGAAAGCAUUAUUCUUUAACUCUCUACCAACAUAAGCAUUAAAACUUUCUUGUCUAGCCAUAAAUUCAUCAAAUUCGUCUAAGCAAGGGCUAUGAAAUUUAGUAGAGGGGAUUUCAACUUUAUCAUAUCUAUAGAGAGAAUUUACCUUUACUACCUGUGUCGGGUUAUCAAGACAAUGUGGUUCUUCAACAGGCGGUAUAUUAAGACCAUGUAUUUCUUCAAUAGGAGGUAAAUUCUUAACAUCUUCAGCUUUAAUACCUUUUUCUUUCAUUGAUUUCUUUGCCUCUUGCAUAUCUUCAGGACUGAGAAAUAAAACACCUCUCUUCUUCGGAGUGGGUUUAGGAAUAGGCUCAGGAGUUGGUUCAAUUGGUUCAGGAAUUGCUUCAUGAAUUGGCUCAGGAAGAGUCUAAUUAUUUUGAUUAGUCAACAUAUUAUUCAAUAGUAAUUCAGCUUCAUCGACUGUUCUUUCCCUGAAAACACAACCAACACAACUAUCCAAGUAGUCCUUGGAAGCAUCGGUUAGUCCAUUAUAAAAGAUAGCAAGUAUUUCAUUUUUCUUGAGAGGAUGAUCAGGCAAAGCAUUAAGUAACCGGAGAAGCCUCCCCCAAGCUUGUGGGAGACUCUCUUCUUUGAUUUGCACAAAAUUAUAUAUUUCCCGCAAGGCAGCUUGUUUCUUAUGACCAGGGAAAUAUUUAGCAAAGAAGUAAUAAAUCAUAUCCUGGGGACUACGCACACAACUAGGAUCAAGAGAAUUAUACCAAGUCUUAGCAUCACCCUUUAACGAGAACGGAAAUAUCUUAAGGAUAUAAAAAUGGCGAGAUCUUUCAUCAUGAGUAAACAGGGUAGCUAUAUCAUUCAACUUGGUAAGAUGUGCAACAACAAUUUCAGAUUCAAGGCCAUAAAAAGGAUCAGAUUCAACUAGAGUAAUAAUCUCAGGAUCAAUAGAGAAUUCAUAAUCCUUAUCCAUAACGCAGAUAUGUGAAGUAGCAAAAGCACGGUCAGGUUUCAUUCUAGCAUUAAGAGACUGCUGCUUCCAUUUAGCUAAUAAUUUCUUAAGAUCAUAUCUAUCAUUGCAAGCAAAGAUAGCUCUAGCAGCUUCUUCAUUCAUAACAUAACCUUCAGGAACAACAUGCAAUACAUAAUUGGGAUAACUUUCAUCAUCACUAUCAUCAAUAAUAGCAUCUUCAAUAUUUUCAAUCCCCCUAACUCUAGCAAGUUGUUCAUCAAGAAAUUCACCUAAUGGAAAAGUAGUAUCAUGCAUAGAAGUAGUUUCAUCAUGCAUAGCAGAAGUGGCAUCAUCAAUAACAUGCGACAUAUCAGAAUUCAUAGUAGUGGCAGGUUUAGGUGUCGCAAGCUUACUAAUAACGGAAGGAGAAUCUAGUGCAGAGCUAGAUGGCAGUUCCUUACCUCCCCUCGUAGUUGAGGGCAAAAUCUUGGUUUUAGCGUCUUUCUUCAUAGUGAUCAACAGAUAUAAAUCCCAAGUGAAUCAGAGAAUAGAGCUAUGCUCCCCGGCAACGGCGCCAUAAAUUAGUCUUGAGAACCCACAAGUGUAGGGGAUCGCAACAGCUUUUGAGGGAAAAGUAUUCAACCCAAAUUUAUUGAUUCGACACAAGGGGAGCCAAAGAAUAUUCUUGAGUAUUAGCAGUUGAGUUCUCAAUUCAACCACACCUGGAUAACUUAGUAUCUGCAGCAAAGGAUUUAGUAGCAAAGUAGUAUGAUAAUAAAGCUAACGGUGGCAAAAGUAAAGAUAAUAGUUUUUGGGUUUUUGUAAUAGUUGUAACGGUAGCAACGGAAAAGUAAAUAAGCGAAGAACAAUAUGUGAAAAACUCAUAGGCAAUGGAUUAGUGAUGGAUAAUUAUGCCGGAUGCGAUUCCUCAUGUAAUAGCUAUAACAUAGGGUGACACAGAACUAGCUCCAAUUCAUCAAUGUAAUGUAGGCAUGUAUUCCGUAAAUAGUCAUACGUGCUUAUGGAAAAGAACUUGCAUGACAUCUGUAUUCCCGUGGCAGCGGGGUCGUAGUGGAAACUAAGGGAUAUUAAGGCCUCCUUUUAAUAGAGAACCGGAACAAAGCAUUAGCACAUAGUGAAUACAUGAACUCCUCAAACUACGGUCAUCACCGAGAAGUAUCCCGAUUAUUGUCACUUCGGGGUUGUAGGAUCAUAACACAUAAUAGGUGACUAUAGACUUGCAAGAUAGGAUCAAGAACACACAUAUAUUCAUGAAAACAUAAUAGGUUCAGAUCUGAAAUCAUGGCACUCGGACCCUAGUGACAAGCAUUAAGCAUAGCAAAGUCAUAGCAACAUCAAUCUCAGAACAUAGUGGAUACUAGGGAUCAAACCCUAACAAAAUUAACUUGAUUACAUGGUAAAGCUCAUCCAACCCAUCACCGUCCAGCAAGCCUACGAGGAAAUUACUCACGCACGGCGGUGAGCAUCAUGAAAUUGGUGAUGAAGGAUGGUUGAUGAUGACGACAGCGAUGAAUCCCCCUCUCCGGAGCCCCGAAUGGACUCCAGAUCAGCCCUCCCGAGAGAGAUUAGGGCUUGGCGGCGGCUCCGUGUCGUAAAACUCGAUGAAACUUUCUCCUUGAUUUUUUUCUCACCGAACGUGAAUAUAUGGAGUUGGAGUUGAGGUCGGUGGAGGUCCAGGGGGCCCACAAGAUAGGGGGCGCGCCCUAUAGGGGGGGGGGGCGCCCCCUUGUCUCGUGGACAGGGUGUGGGCCCCCUGGUGUAUUUCUUUCGCCCAUAAAUUCUUAUUAAUUCCAAAAAGUGCCUCCGUGGAUUUUCAGGACAUUCUGAGAACUUUUCUUUUCUACACAUAAAACAACAUCAUGGUAGUUCUGCUGAAAACAACGUCAGUCCGGGUUAGUUUCAUUCAAAUCAUGCAAGUUAGAGUCCAAAACAAGGGCAAAAGUUUUUAGAAAAGUAGAUACGUUGGAGACGUAUCACGCCUCCGGCAGUCCCGUUGGGACAUGAACUUCACCGUUGUGUCGAUGUGGGAGCGGGCACAGGAGUUGGCGCCUUUCCCGCGGCUUAACACUGACGAGGAUUGUCGCAAACACCGGAGGCGGGAGCACCGUCUUAGCCUGGCCGAUAUGGACGAGGAAGCCAUGGCGCUGUGGAGGCAAUCUUCUCGCAAGACAUCAUCAACAAAGACUAGUUCUUUGUCGAGAGGAGGGCGGAGAGGGAGGAGAGAAGGAAGGAGCGAGCCGCCUAUCGCGAGGACAAGCGAACGCGGAAGACGGUCGCUAAAUACAACAUGGAGCUAGGAGAUGCAUCAUCCUGGGAUUCCCGUGACGAGCGGUUCCUUGACGCCUAUGCUCAGACGUCGGAGGAGGACAUCACCGAGGCAGAGUCCGAGUCGGAGAACGAGUAGUAGUAGUUUUUAGUUUUAUUUUGUAUUGUAGAAGCAGGCUAUGUGGAUGUAGUAGAACUAUAUAUCAUUGGAGAAGCCUAGAUAUAUGCAUUUUGUAUCGUAGAAGCAGGCUAUGUGCCAAACUAUCUUCAUAUUUGUAUGCUAUGUAUGCAAUCGUCUCAAGAAAAAAUGAAAUAUAGCGCGCCUACUGGAGCGGCUCUGGCGCGCUUUAUUUUGUGGCGGCCGCUGGAGCCAGCGCAGCGCCGCACGCAAAACCUGGCUAACGCGGCGCGGUAUUCUCAUUUUUAGCGCGCCACACAUUGCGCGCCUGUUGAUGCUCUUAUAAAGAGCAAAGAGGGGUCGAAUCGACACUCCACGCUCUCCUUCUGCUCCAAUGCCCAAAUCCUCCAAGCCUUAUCAUCCUCAAUCUUGAGCCCAGGACACGUCUCUCCCUGUAUGUAUGUUUCCCACGACACGUCUAGCCCGAACUGCACGUUGGACCUCGCGUCCACCCUCGAGGUUGGAACCACUGUUCAAGAAUUCGUCCGAUUAAUUAGUUAACGGGUCAGUUAAUCACUACUCAUAAGGUGACCGAAUCGAAUAACACAUAUUCAUCAUGUUAACUUGCCAAGCCGAUUAAUUGGCCAGUUAGACCGAUUAAUCGGUUGUUUGGCCGAUUAAUCAUUGUUGACCCAUUAACUUCUAGGCAAACAAUGCCUAAUUUUUUUCCUAUAACCCCUCCCAUCCCCCUCUCGCUCCUCAAUAGCUAUGGUUUGACCAAACAGUAGCAUAUUUUGGUAUAUUACAUAGUUGAGAGCAUGAGAGUACGGUAUAAUACAUAAAAACUAGAUAUAUGUUGGCAAUUCCUAUUUAAUCUACCGAUUAAUGGUCGACCGAUUAAUCCAGUUAAUAGGCCGAUUCACCGAUUAAUCACUACUUCCAAGAUGACCGAGCAGCUACCAGUUACCGAUUUCUUGAACAAUGGUUGGAACACCCAGAAGCAGGAUAAUCGGUCACCUGUAGGACACUCCAGAUUAGUUUGUAUUUUGUGAUGAAUGCUGCUGGGUUGAUAGUGCAAAUUUCACUUUGGGCAGAGCUCAUCAAAGCGGCAGACGCUAGCAGCGGCGAGUCAGCGCUCAAAGGCCUCUGGCACCAUACCAGCGCCAUCCUAUGCUGCUCUCUCAAGGUACUGUUCCAGGGUUUUACUCACCCUUGGACAACAUCUUUCAGCACAUACUAUAUACACUAUUAUGGCCUGUUUGUUUUUGCUGACUCGAUCUAUCGUGCUAUGAUGCUGCAGGCGAUGCCGGUGUUGACGUUCGCGAACCAGUCCGGGCUGGACAUGCUGGAGAUGAUGCUGGCGGCGCUUCGGGAGAUCACCAUGGACAAGGUGCUGGACUAUGACUAGGGGAGGAAGAGCCUGCUAUGCGCAGACCUGAUGGCCAGCGUCGCGGAGAAGGGGUACACGUGCGUCGAUGGCGGGACAUGCGCUUCGAGCAUGGCCGACCGGCGUCCUACGGGAAGGCGGUGGGGUGGAAGGUGCUGGAUGACGGCCGCGCCGGCGCUGCCCACUGCGUCUGCUUCGCCUUCAUGGACUGGUCCUUCGUUUAGUUGAGGGAUCGACGAUCGUUUGUUGUCGCCAAGUCUCGAGCAUCGGACCUGAGUGUGUAGUAACUUCGUGGGACUGUUGGGUGCGUGGUACAAUGUUUGGAUUGAUGGUGGUGUUUUGUAUGGAUUGAUGACAUGGCGAGAUUGGUGAUGUUGUUUGCUUGCUUUGUAUAGUACUUUCAUUUCCUCUUUUUCUCCUUCUGUCUAUCUACAAACAAUGGGUAUAACUUAGGGCAACUGUAGCCGAUCCGGUAAAACUGGUUUUAGGAGUAAAAAUUCUGGUUUACUCUUCUAAACCGGACCUAGCCGAUCCCCUAGGUGAGUAAAAAAAUUACUUCCAGCAGGGUGCUGAGUAAAUCAACUCCUCUCCCCACACGCCUCACCUACCACCGCCUUGCCGUGCAAAUCACUGCCUCUGUCGCCCAAUCCAUGCCGGCGGCAUCCCACGUCCACUCUGACUCUCGUGGGCCAGCAACAAUGGCUGAUCUGGCCACCGCCGCUCCCUGUAGCAAAAUUUCGUGUUUUGACCCUUUUCACGUCUAAAAUCAGGAUCUGAUCCCGGUUUGAUUUUUUUUUUUGACAUUUGACCCUUUUGUCUACCGCCGCCCUCCCUGGCGGUAGGGUGCUUUGACGGCCGUCUGGCCGUUAACGGGGUCUGACGUGGCAAAGGGACCUACCGCCGCACCCCUCGGCGGUAGGCUCCAACACCCUACCAUCGAUGUCUCUGGCGGUAGGGUCCUGGAGAUAAGGUUCGGUGGGGUCCGCUCACCACCCACCCACUCCACUCAUCUUCUUCCUCCCCGAGCUCACACUCUCUCCUCCUUUUCUCCCCCACCCAAGCACCCACUAGAUCCACCUCCAUUGCUUGAGAUUUGUCCCGUGGAUCGAGGCCAUUUGCAUCACCCAAGGUACCUCCACCAUCCCCCCUUCAUUUGGUUGGUUCAAAUCAUCUAGUUUUGAUGGAAUCAACUAGUUUUGCAACCCCCCUAGUAAUUCCUCUAGUUUAGCAUUUAUUGUGCAUUUAUGACACAUUUAUGGGGCAUUUAUGGUGUAUUUAUGGUUGACCUAAGUAAUAUGUGUCACUCUUUGUUGUGGCAAGCUAGCUUAAGAUUUAGGGCUAGGGGUUUAGUUAGGUUAGGGUUAGGGUUAAGGUUAGGGUUAGUGCUAUGAUUAAGGUAUACUAGUUGUUAGAUUCAAAAUCUUAUAUUUUAGAUAGUUCAUCCAUAUAAAAUGACCGGUCCAUGGAUGAACCAAUUUUGUUCCAUUGUUUUUAGAUGGAUAAACUAGUGAAUGUGCAUUAUUUGGACAAGGCGGUUUUCAUGGAUGGAAAUGCUGACGAGGGGGAGGAGGCCAUGGUUGUUGACACAAGCCCGAGCUAUGAUGAUAUUGUCGUGAAAGUGAGAAACGUCCUCAAUUGGAUUAACCCAAGUGAUGGUGUGAAGCUUAUUGGACGGUAUGAUGUGGGAGUGGGAGUAAGAUCCCGAUUAAAGAGUAUGCCCAUCACCUCUCAAUUGCAUUGGGAUGUGUAUAAGGAGAAAGUUGAGGGAUCACAAGACAAGUCACUUGAGUUAUUUGCCACAAGACAAGUAAAGGUUGAAGUUCCUCGGCCACUACUUGACUUGAACCGGAAUGUGUCCUCCCCAAUGCAUGAUGUUGUCGUGGUGUAUGACCACAAUGCGGCUAGCCAACCACCAAGUAGCCAACCAAAUGAAGAGGACAUCAAUGCUAGAGCAAUAGUUCUUGUAGGUGAUGAUCAUGUUGAAGAUGAGGCCGUUGCUCAUGUUGAUGAACAUGCAAAUGUUCAUGUUUAUGAAGAUGCCAUUGCUCAUGUUGAUGGAGAUGCUAUUGCUCAAGAUGAUGUGUAUGCGGAAGAAGAAUAGAUUCAUUACAAUCCCAUUGGUGACUUGGAUGUCAUUGUGCAUCAACAAGACAUGGACCGGAACCUACCUUAUAGCCGUAUGUGUAGGUAUGAGUUGGAUGAUGAGGAUCCACUGGAAGAAUUGGAUGAGGAUGGAUUCACACAGCGAGAAAAUCAAAUUUACAAGAAGGUCAAUGGCAAGGAAAGAGGGCCCUCUUUGUUUCGUGAUCUUAGCCUUGCCGACAAGGCCGUUGUUGAUGGUGGCAUGAGGUUGGGCUUGAUCAAACCAUCGCCUUGCCCGAGGAUGGGUGAUCCAAGGCCAUCGGGUGAGGACGAGAAUGCUCAUUUGAAGAAAGGGAUCAAGUUUGGUUGUUUGAAAGAGUUCAAGAUAUGGUUGAGUGACUAUGCCAUUCGGAACCAUAGGCUGUUCGUUGUUGGUCAUUCCAACAAAAAAUUGCGCUACACAAUCAAAUGUGACAAAGAAGGUUGCCCAUGGAAGGUCCGUGGAAGAAAGAUCAAGGAAACCGGGCAAUGGGAGUUGAAGAGUUGUGUGGCCACCCACAAGUGAAUACCGCCGGAGAAAGCGGACUGAAGCAAGGGACACCGCCAACUCACGUCCGAGUAUCUAGGCUAUAAAUUGUUGAAUGAGAUAUCCCAUGAUCCAACCGUGAAGGUGAAGUUCCUCAUGAGUUCGGUCUUCGAAAGAUUCGGGUACCCGGUCAAGUAUGGAAAGGCGUGGAUGGCGAAUGCAAACACUAUAAGGAUGUUGCAUGGUGAUUAUGUCGCCGCGUACAACAUUCUUCCGAGAAUGCUGGGAGCCAUUGCUCAUCAGAACCAGGGCAUGUGCCAUAGGGUCGAGUCAAUCGAGGGAGUGUUUCAUCGAGCUUUUUGGAGCUUUGGGCAAUGCAUCGAUGCAUUUAGGCAUUGCCACCCCGUGUUGUCAAUUGAUGGCACAUUCUUAACCGGAAAGUACAAGGGCACGUUGAUGGUAGCAAUGGCCCACUCAUCCAAUGACAAUGUGUUACCGGUGGCAUUUGCGUUGGUGCCUUCCGAGCACGAUGAUAAUUGGCAGUGGUUCAUGGAUCAUGUGAGGACGAAGGUGAUUGGACCCAAAAGAGAGGUGUGCAUCAUAUCAGAUCACCAUCAUGGGAUUCUCAAAGCAAUAGAAGUUGACAUUCUAGGCUAUCCAAAGCUCCAACACCGUUGGUGCAUGAGGCAUUUCGUGGCAAACUUUUACCGUGCAUGCAAGAGUAAGGGGUUUUGCAAAGAUCUUACCCAUGUUUGUGUGGCAUUCAACACCGACACAUUCCAAAGCCACUAUGAUAAGCUAUUCAAGGCGUUGGAGAAGAACAAAGGACGGAGAUGAUUCUUGACAAGGAAUUUUCCGGAGAAGCAUAAGUGGUCACGUGCUUACGACGAAGGAGGUUUCCGAUACGGAGACAUGACAAGUAACAUGGUGGAAUGCUUCAACAAUGUGCUCAAGGGUGUCCGCUCUUUGCCGGUCACUACAAUAGUGAAAUAUACCUUCUUCAAGCUCAACGAGUAUUUUCUGAGGCAUUCCAAAGAGACAGCCAAAUGGAUAGGUGAGAAAAUGGAAUUUCCCUUCAAAGUUGAGGAUUGGUUGAAGCAUCAAGCACGCAAGUCUUGGCGUCAACAAAUCAUUAGUUUCAAUGAAAAAGAACAAAUCUACCAAGUCGAUGAGCCGGGUGGCACAAUAAGGGACGGCAUGACAUACAGUGGAGUAGCAUAUGAGGUGCGCCUCAAGACCCGGUGGUGUCAGUGCGAGAGACCUCACAAGUAUCAUUGGCCUUGCUCGCAUGUGAUGACCGCCGCAAGGUUCAGAAACUUGAAAGUAUCCGAUGGUACCACCUUGCGGUUGCAUGAGUUCACAUUGGAACGAACGAGGUUGACAUGGGCUCCUAGGUUUCAUCCCUUCCUAGAUCAGUCAUAGUGGCCUGAGUAUCAUGGGCCACACAUCGUCCCCGACCCCGAACUCAUGGUGCCUACAAAUGGAAGAAGAAGAAAGAAGAGGUUUAGGGGUGACAUGGAUGACCUAGCUGGAUACACCGGAAUGAAACAAUUUGGUAGCGGCCAUUUCAUGGAGGCACCGGACAUCAACAGUUGUGGUAAAUGUGACGAGCCGGGACACAAUGUUAGGAAAUGCACCAAAAAGCCACAGACCGAUGCCAACACUCCAGAUCCUAGUGAAAGUGGUGGCCGAAGAGGAGGUACCGGUGGCACACGAGGAGGUAGGGGUGGUAGUGGAUGAGGAGGCAGGAGUGGUGCGCGUGCAGGACAGACGAAUCCUAGCAGCCAUCUUGUUCUGUGACCGAAACGGUCCCCUGUUCUGCGGUAGGGUUGGCCAUCCUACCGCCAGUAGGCUAGGCGGUAGGCUCCUACUGCCAGGGAUCAUGGCGGUAGGGUUGCCAUCCUAGCAGCCAUUUUUCUGUGACCAAGCUGGCCACUAAUUUUCCGGUAGGGUUGGUCAACCUACCGCCGGUGCCUAUAGCGGUAGGGUUGGCCAUUUAUUUGUGACCAAUUCGGCCACUGAUUUUACGAUAGGGUUGAUCAACCUACCGCCGGUGCCUAUGGCGGUAGGGUUGGCCAUUUUUCUGUGACCAAGUCGGCCACUGAUUUUACGGUAGGGACGUAGGGUUGGGCAACCUACCGCCGGAGACUAUGCGGUAGGUGCUGAUCUAUGUUAUUUUUUACCCAUUUGCCUUUCCAUUUCUUACAACUUUCUGUGAACUAAGCAUCCACAAAUGAUCGAGUAGCAAAGACAUCAAUAACUGAGCAUCGUUCAUUACAUCCACAAAUGACACUUUUUUAACGAUUCAUGUCCCCCUUCUAAUGAUUUGAAUGACGUAAGUUCAAACUAGAAAUGAUCAAGUAGCAAAGACAUACAUAACCGAUCCAUGUCCAUGUCCCCCUUCUAGCGAUUUGAAUAACAUAACUUCAAACUACAAAGCUCAAGCUUGGAGCAUACAUUUUCUACUUCGGAAAGAAAGAUCUAAAACACAUAAGACGUUCAAUUUGUGCGUCACGAUCAGGAUUAGGAUUCAGUUGAAAAUCCGACGAUCCUGCCCAAUUCUCCAACACACCUUUCAUUUCGCGGAACCAUGCCCAUCGAGCACGCCAUUCUGGAAUCUCUGACUUGCCUUGACUUAUUGCCCAUCCAAUGACCUAUCCGGGUUUUCUCAAGUCCAGCUCGCAGAAUUCUUCUUUGUUUGUGGAGAAAAAGAUCUCCAUUGCCACAGCAUGUUUGCAAGCAUAUUCCUUCUCGUGCAACUCAUCAAGUAUCUUCCCUUUUUCUUUCACAAGCCUACGGAAAACUUUUCUCUCCUUAUGAUCAGAAGGUUCCUCCAUGAAUGAAUACUUGUUCAUAUCCUUCAUGGCACCCCACUCCUCAUCAUUGAUCUUGAACCAUGCUUCAAGCUCCCUCUUGAUACCAAGUUCUCGCUCCGGUACAAUCUUCUCAGACGCUGCCGCCAAACUCUUAGAUGCAAUGCCACAACACUUCUCAUAUACUUUCAUCAACUGCUCCGGGGUCAUGUUUUCCAUGCUACAUGAAAUGGAACAAACCAUAACUCAAAUAAAAUGAUACAAUACAAACACAAAGCAUAACUUAUUUAUAAUGUUCUCACUGGUUCAAAUGACAUAGGUUGCAUAAAUGAUAAGGGUACAUGCCAUUACAGUCCAAAUGACACUACACCAUCCUUUGUUUCAACCCCCUCUACUACUCCAUCAACAAGACAUCUUUGUCGUAUGGCCCCGGGUUGCAACAAAUGACAUCAUUUCUUUCACAGACCCAAGCCCAACGAGUUGCCCGACUAAGUAUCACCGAUGAUGCUUGCCUAACUAGCCAAUCAAUGAUCUGGCCAGGGUUGUUAAAGUCCAUCUCAUUCACUUCAUCCCUUGUUCCACACAAUGCAAUUUGCCUUGCAAGAGCGCGUCUAUGAUUUUUCUCUUCAUUCUUGAGAUUGCUUAUGUUUUUCUCUUUAGCUUGGUAUAACUUAACUCUGGCAUCGUCAUACUUCGACACAUAAUACUUUGAAAAAUCUCUACAAGCCGCAUUCAAUGCAUCAACGGCUUUGACCCACAAGUCCAUCUUUUCCUCAAUGACUGCACAUUCACGCUUCACCGCCGCCUCCGCGGAAGUCUCAACAAACAUGAUCGAUCCCAUCCUACAAGUCGAGGGAUUACUAUAACGGUCAUCCAAGGCAAAAAUCCUAACUGUCUCUUGACAAAAACUAGAACCCUAGGAGUAGAUCGAGCCAUAAUUCAAGAGGUACCUACUCUAACAAAACCCUAAUUAAACUAUAACCAUAACGUUUGUCAUAUAGGCAUUUACUUAAGCAUAACCAUAAACACAACCUUAACCCUAACCAUGUCAUUAAUCCUAACAAAACCCUAAAUGAUAUUUCUUACUACCCAAACAAUGCUAGUGACACAAUACAUUGUCAAAGCACAAACAUUACCGUAAAUGCAUCAUAUACAUUGAUUUCACCACAACAAAACCAUGAACUAGUAUUCCAACAAAAUGAGCAAAAUGCAUGAUCUGAACCAACCAAAUGAAGGGGGAUGGGGGAGGUACCUUGGGUGAUGCAAAUGGCCUCGAUCCACCGGCCAAAUCUCAAGCAAUGGAGGGGGAUCUAGUGGGUGAUUUGGUGGGGGAGAAGAGGGGAGAGAGUGAGAGCUUGAAAGAAGAGUGGGGUGAAUGAGUGGGUGGGGGAGCAACACAACCCCCUCCUUCAAAACCUUUUCCAGAA